RNAcentral lists this long non-coding RNA (66159 nucleotides) under Arabidopsis lyrata. RNAcentral's name for it is "long non-coding RNA (ALYR_LNC000690)". Lineage: Eukaryota; Viridiplantae; Streptophyta; Magnoliopsida; Brassicales; Brassicaceae. The record is from RNAcentral.
AUAUUGAUAGGUUUGCAAUUUCGUAAAAGAAACUCUCAUAUCUAUUAUGACUAAGCCACACGCUUACUUAACAAAGCUAAACACUACGCAUCCUAAAAAAGCAUUAAUCCAUCAGUCAACAUUAGUAUAUUGGGUAUGACUCGUGAAGUUAUGAUACAAUGUCGAUAAUUUUCUUGGUAAAAUGUAAAAAAGAAAUACGUAAUCAAUUUUUUCUUUGAAAUCUUUAAUAGUACUACUUUGGAAAUACAAAAAAAAUUGUUGAAAAUACCAACAUCAUGACAUGUUCCCUGGCGUGAUUAUUUUAGCGACACCUGAAGAAACGGCAUCGUUUUAGGUCAUCAUCUCUAUUUUGCAAAUAUCUCAUAAAGACGGUUAUAAAAAUCACAGAGACACACCACAGACGAUAAAAGCUCUCUAAAACUCACUAUUAUGGUCACCGUCUAUAAAUAACCGACCGACCACCGUCAAGUUUUUUUUAAUUUACACUAAUGCCACUGCCACCUCUUAUUCCGCCAGAUCCACCACCGUCUCCGCUGCAACACUGAUCCAUCAACCGUCACCGGAGAAGAAUCAUUCAGCAAUUAGAAAAUGGCGACGAAGAACACGAAGCAAAACAUGUCCGUGUUGUUAACUAAGCUCGGAGAUCGAGAUACUUUCACAAUGGCGGCUCGAGAGCUUGAUUUAAUGGCUAGACAGAUUGAUCCUUCCUCCUCCGGGAAUCUCCAGUCGUUUAUUUCCGUUAUACUCUCCGCCGACACCGGAGAUAAACCGGCGGUUCGUAAGCAUUGUAUUCACUUGCUCUCUGUUUUAUCAGUUUCUCUUCCUCUCAAUUCUCUGUCUCCUUUCCUCUCUAAGAUCCUCACUCGCAUCACGAGACGUCUCCGUGAUCCCGACUCUUCAAUUCGAUCAACUUGCGUCGCGGCUGUGUCGGCGAUCUCUUCACGUACGACGAAGCCUUCGUUUUAUUCGGCGUUUAUGAAGCCGUUAGCGGAUACGCUUUUCACCGAGCAAGAGGUUAAUGCGCAGAUCGGAGCUGCGCUUUGUCUCGCGGCGGCGAUUGAUUCGGCGUCUGAUCCGGAUCCGGUUCGGUUAGGGCAGACACUUUUGCCUAGACUUGAGAAGCUGGUGAAGUGUAAUGCGUUUAAGGCGAAAUCGGCGGGAGUUGUUGUGAUCGGAAGUUUGAUUGGUGCUGGUGGUUUGUCUGGAACCACAGUGAGCUCCGGUGGAUUGAAAGGACUUGUGGAAUGCUUAUUGAGCUUCUUGGUUAGUGAAGAUUGGGCCGCGAGGAAAGCAGCUGCUGAAGCUUUGGGGAGGUUAGCUACAAUGGAGAGAAAUGAGUUAGGUGAGUUCAAAGCUAAAUGCUUGAAGAUCUUUGAGAGCAGGAAAUAUGAUAAGGUUUGGUUUCCUUGAUCUUGAAUUUUUCAUUUGAAUCUAAGGUUUGGCUUAAAGAUGAUCAUAGAUUUGAAUUUUGAUAUGGUUUAGGUGAAAGCUGUGAGAGAGGUGAUGAAUCAGAUGAUGGAGGCAUGGAAACAGGUUCCAGAUUUAUCAGAAGAGGUUUCUCCACCCAGAUCUAAUGCUUCUUCUAAAGGUAUCCUCGUUUACCAUUUGAUCUUUAGCCAAAUCAGGAAACUUUUUCUUGUUUGGUGCUAAAAUACUAUCUUGGUUCACUGUGUUUCUUUAGCUUUGUAUGGAUUUGUAGCUAAGAUCUUUGGUUGCUUAUUUGUCCUGUUUUCUUGAUUCUAGGUGAUGCAAGUGAUGGACGAUACCCUUCAGGCUCUAGAGUUGCUUCAACACCUGCUAAAUCAAGAACUCAUCUAGUUAACAGAUCGACUCCACCCAGGAGUUCACUCGCCACCACGGCUAGGAAACAGGCUGGCAGAAAAAGCAUUGAUCAGAAGAAAACCAGUCUAACGGCACCACAUACAAAACCAAACGUGAGGAGAAGAUUGGACUGGAAAGCUGGAGGAGCUAGUAUUGCCACUGGUGUGCCUCUUGAAGACGAACAACUUCGUGAUCAUAACGAGAAUGCAAAGGAAACGAGUCAUUCUAGUCACAAUACGAUGCAGAAGUUAGGAGGUGUUUCCAGUUCUCUUAAUGGCAAUGUCCCACCAUCCGGUGCUACAAUGGUAACAGGGCAUCAUGUCUUGUCUGAAAACCCAAAUAGUAGUAACUGCAAAGGGCUUGAAGAUAUAUCUCUGAUCCGUAAUCAGCUUGUUCAGAUUGAACAACAGCAAGCCAAUCUAAUGGAUCUUCUUCAGGUUUGUUCUAAACAUGAUGAUGAUCUUUCUUACGUUACAAGCAUCCAGAUUGCUCUCAUUUCCGUAGGCCCUGAAACUUAUUCUGUGUGAUUUUUAUUAGAGAUUUGUCGGAAGCUCACAACACGGAAUGCGUGGUCUGGAAACACGAGUUCACGGCUUAGAACUUGCACUGGAUGAGAUAUCUUAUGACUUGGCGGUUUCAAAUGGGAGAAUGAGUAACGGUUCAAGCAGAAACAACUGUUGUCUCCUUCCUUCUGGAAGUUUCAUCAAAUCUAAAUUCUGGAAGAAACACGAUUCGAAGUAUUCAGCAUCGAGGCUGUCCACUUAUAGGAACAGAAAUGCAGAAGCCACAGGGAUACAAAACUCGAGGCAUCGGUUUAAUGGCUCUCCUGGAUUUAUAGUCAACCCAUUAGCUGAAAUUCGACCAGAUAAUGGAUCUGCAGGUAAACAAGCUGUGUUUUGUCGAUUCGACUCAAUGUUCUUUGUUGUAAGGAACUUAUGAAAAGAACUUAUAAUUGUUUGAUUUUGUGUUGCCAGGUAUGCCUCACAAUUGAGGGACGAAGAGAAACAAAACAUUGAAAAGCUUAUGAGACUUAAAACCACAGUGUGAAUGUGGUGAUUCAUACUGAUUGCUAAGUUAUUAUAUAUAUUACUUCUAAGUUCUCAUUCCUUCUAGUAUCUCUUUUCUCUUGAAAGUAAAUUCUACUAAUUAGAUCGAGUUCAAAGAUAUCUUCAAUGUCUCUAAUGAGUUCUUUGCUGAAAUUUCUUAUGUGUUGCUUGUUUUCAUGUUGAGUUUGCUUAUGAGGUAAAUGAGUUUCAAUUUUCAUGUAAUAUAUUACAAAUGAUGAAUUGGUAAAAUUGUAACAACUUCAAUUUUUUUUUUUUUUUUUUUCGCGUGUUCGCAUAUAAAACGAAGUGAAAAGAUAAAUAAUUCUUGAAAAAAUUGAUUAAGUAGAUCUGCCUACUAAUUUUCACGGAUCAUUGAAUAAAGGAAGUAGGUAAGUAGGUAAGUCGGUUGCAACUGUUACUUAUUGCUUACACUGUUUGCAUUAUACUGAUUAAUUAUUGUGUCACAUGUGACUUCAUGGGCAAUUAAAUAGUUUAGUAGGUCUUAAAAGUUCUUAAAAAAGAAGAAAAAAACUUUGCAUAUCACUGCUGAUUACUGAUUUAAUAUAAAAUGCAUAUUUGAGGAUGGGCAACGAAAUGCCAACAAUAAUAAUAACUAUCUGUCGUGAAUAUUUCCAAGGGUUUAGCUACAACAACUUUUCAAAAACUGAAAUAAAUCAUUUACUUUGUUCUUGAGAUUGCUAAUUCUCUAAUUUUCUACCAGGAAUUAGAACAUAUUAACGGAAUUCGAAAGAGAUACUUGAGAGUGAACUCAACAAAAGAGAGCUAAUCAUAAUGCUCAAUGAAUCAAUGGUGUUAUAAAGUGGCUUUAGAGUGAAAACAAAGAGUGAAGCUGAUUAUAAGGAAGAUGUUAAUUGAGGUUAAGACAAGACACUAGUAACUGAGUGAAAAGUGCAGGCACAGAAAUGCAUAUAGUUACUAUGUUGCAAAGUUAUUUAGAGACAUAAAGUAAAGAGAAAGGAAUCAUGUAUCAAGUCAAAAAAAAAAUCAUCACAUCUAAUAGUUGGUAUCUCUUAGAUUUGCAUUUUAGGGACUGAAACAUUGGCUACCUUAUAAAUUAUCCAAUCAAGAUUUGAAUUUGUAAACAAAGUUGGAACAUUUAUGAUUUGAUUUGAUCAUAAAAAUUGGAAAAAAAAUAAGCACAUGAGGAUACUCUGCAAGUAAUAAGAAAAGAUAAUCAGUUUUUUUUUUUUUUUUGUUGUAUAUGAUCCUUCCACUCAAAAUCAUACCAAUCCUUGAAGGGUCAAAAGGAUUCCCUUCUCUAUCUCACCCGGUUUAAAUUAAAAUAGACGAGUUUGGUUCUUCAAGCUGGAAAUAAACCGGCCAAACAAUGGAACAACGGCUCACACCAGAAGAUAUAAAGAUGAGAUUAAAAAAAAUCUUUAUCAACAGCUAAAACAGUAAAAAAGAAAUGCACAAAAGCAUCAAAUCUCUCAUUUUCUCAAACCAUCAAAAAGUGGUCUAUGCAAAAAUUGACCUUCUUUGAUGGCUCUUCUCACUCUUCUUUUCUUCUUUUUCUUCUUUUUCUUUCUUUCUUUGUUUUUCAUCAUCUUUAUGAUACAGGAGCAGCAACCAGAUUCAACUCAAGAGGCUUCAAAGCUGCCUGAACAAGCUCUUGGACAGUACGGUUACGGCGACAAACAUCUGAGAGUUCCUCAACGUGUCCUAUUAGAGAAUUCACAUCUGCUCCAUAAGCAAUAUCGGACAAUGCUUGUAAGAACUUGGUAGAUUCGGUCUCUGUCAAGGCUGUUCGAGGUAUCAGGCUUACACUUUCCUUAGCCCAACCCACUGCUUGUAACCUGUAUGUUCUUGUCAGAGCUAGCAGCGAAUAUGUUACCUAACCAAUACCCAAAACAAAAACAAAAGAAAACGGUUUCAAAGGCCAAAAAACAUCAUUCAAAAAAUGCAGCAAAAAGACAGUUUUGCUAAAUUUACCGUAUCUAGCCGAGAACUGGGAAGUGCCCCAGCUAAUGAGGCUAUCAAUAUUCUUGUGAUUGUAGCUCCCCGAGGAAUAAUAAUAUUGUCCCUGAUUAGUACGAACUGCUCUUCAUUCACAGACUUCUCGAGGUCAAAAAUGUCGGUUAAAAAGGUCAAUAUCGAGUGGCAGGCUUCUCUGGAAAAGAGUAGUUCAAAAUAUAUAGUUAAACAUCAAUUCAAAUCCCUGAAGGAAAAACAGCUUAUGAUGAACAACUUUAGAGAAAGAGAGGGUAAACCUGUGCUGCACUGUAAUUCCAAUCAUUGCGCAAUCUACAAGAGGUGGAAAUAUAGGAGACGGAAUGAAUAAAUGUGGACAGUAGCGAAGACAUCUAGACGCCAACAAAAAGCAGUCAUCGGCUAUAUCUGGUCUCGCAGUGACUUCCUGUAAGAAUAUAAACAGAGUCAGACACCACAUAGGAUUUUAAAACUAAGAGCUUGAAGAUAGUAUACUACUAUGUGAAAUUCGUCAACCUUGAUACUUGUCAUAAGACAUGUUGUAUGUGCAAAGAGGGUUUCAAUCAGGUUCUUCAAGUAGUCCGCACACGAUGGAUCAGAACCAAAAAUCUGCAAUCCCCACAAAGAUUAGAGUCUCUAAAGCUUUUCUAUAAGCAUUCCAUUGAAUGAAAAGAACACAAAUUACCUUUAUAACUUCACUGGAUAAGUAUAGAAAGCAUGGCUGAUGAUGCUGCUGAUAAUGGAAUUGAAUCUUUGCCAGCAUUUCUCCAAUUGUAUUAAUUAUGUAUCUUCCAGAAGUACGUACCUACAACCAUUGCCUUCUUUUAGUGAAGUAUCCGCUAUCAAAAAUGUCAUCCGACAAAUAGUUUUUAGAUUUUCUCUUAUGUUCAUAGACAUGGAAUGUCUAGCAAACAGAGGAACAAGAACGAGACAGGUAAAAAGACUUUAUAAACGAUGGUGUUCAGGAAUGUCCAGGAAGCAGGUAGGUAAAGAAAAAGGAAAUAAAACUCACAGCAUAUUUGCAUGCUCUGCAUAGAGAUUCCAUAGUCCUCAUGUCCCAAGGACGACUGCAGUAAAAACCAUUUCAAAAUAAGAGACCACAUAAAAAGCAAUUUGAAGAGAACAUGUAAAUCAUCAUGUGCCUAGAUUCACUUACGUAUCAAAAAUAAUUCUGAAAAUAGCCCAAUGCUUAUUAAUCUCAGCAGCCACCGCUUCAGGGUGGUUCACAUACCUAAUGUGGUAGCAUUUGUUAGUAAGACUAAACAAAACACAUGGAGAUAUAUCGCAUCAUUGAGAUAUUAUUACACAAACCUGAAGAGGAAGGCAAACCGGUCAAUAUGAACAGUUAAUUCACGUGCAUGCUUCUUCUCCAAAUCUUCUUUCGCUGCUUCCUGAUGCACAGAUUUACAGUUCCCAUCUAUAAGUCUUGGCAGUAUGUCAAACAACCACGCAAAUAGUCAAGAUGGCAAACCUCUAGAGGAGAGGCGGCUGAAAAGCAUAAUUUUUCAAGAGCGCCUUUGGCCUGAUCUAAAGGCAGUUCGGUAACAACCAUACUGCAUAAUCAAAUAUUAGAGAUGUCAUUAACACACAAAUGAGAUCUAAUCCAUCAGUCAGUUGACUCCAUACCCUAAAGCUUCGACGAGAUUUAGUGAAUCCUCAGCAGAGACUUUAUAACCACCACCGCCAUUGAUCGCCAUACAAUAGAUAUUAAACAAAUCUUCAAAAUACCCACAAAGAUUUUUUCGGCAAUCUACAAUGAAACAUUAUUUAAACAGGCAUCAGAUAUUUACAAAAGCAAAAUUGUAACAUUUUGAAUCCAAUAAAAGAAAACACCAAAGCUAAUAUAUGCAUAUCAGUUUCAACAGAAAAACACCUUCCUGUAUCUCUCAUCUUGGGGAGAAGAGGAGAGUAAAUUGAUUAACAAGAAGCAAUCAACAUUUACAUAACAUUGGCUGUUAGAUAGCUACAAGCUUUUAUUUUGUAUCAUUAUGGUUUCACACCAUAUAUCAUGAAAAGUAAUUUGAAAAUCGCAUUGACAAAACUGGAAAACAGAAUUCAGUCCAAGGAAAGCAUUCAACAAAAUUCCAAAUACUUGCCAGUAUUGCAAUGCACCCUAUAUGCUAGCAAUUCAGUAGAGUCGAAGUCAGAUCCGUUAGCGUAGGUUCCAGUCAGACCUUUCGACUAGCUGCCAUCUUUGAAGUAGGUCAGUAUGCACAAUUCAAUUGAAUUUUACAGAGGUGAGAAGUUCAUACUUCCUAAGAGAAAACUAACAACCAAAAUUUAAUUUAGUUUGCAAGUGAAGAGUUAUAAUUAUUAAACUGACUGCCUGAAUAAGUGUAGUCCAUGAAACCUUAUACAGCAGCCCUAGAGAACGUUUUUUAUAAAAGGGAAGCUGGUUGAUCCAAUAUAACCAUCAAAAUGUUGAUUUAAAUCAAAUACCAAUGCUAAAUCCUAAAACCAAAAUAUCUUUGCCAUGGUUUCAUGCAGGAAACAACAAAGAAAUAAGAUAGCCAGAUUUGUAGUAUAUGCAUACUUCUCAUAAUGUCAAUGUUAUACUCAGAAAAUAAAAAGAAUGGAUCAAAUUUGUAAGAGCGAAUACAAUACCGUCACAAAUAUGUCUAAAAGCCAAAGCUGCAGCUGCUGCACAAUCUUCAGAUGUGCCCAUUCCACUCAUAAGAAUUCUAAUGAUCGAUGGCAAUAUUGAAACACUGGCUGGUGCAGCAUUAAGCCAUUUUGAAUAUGCCCCGACAAGUAAGCAUGCUGAAAUCAAACAGGGAAGAAGAUAUCUUGCAUUAAAGAAAAGGCUUCAGACACAUUUGCUAUUCAAUUAGAAAAGAAUUAAGCAUAAAUUGGAAGGUUUCUGGAGCGUAUACGCUAGUGGUUUCCACCAAGCUACAUAUAAAACUUAGAAAGAAAACCUAUUCACCUGUCUGAAGCAGUUGCGCUUGCUGCGGAAGAUUUUGAAGCAACGCCAUCACCUGAAAGCAGAAUUUAAGAGAAUGAAAACUCCAUGCACGAGAGUUGGAAUGGAAUCCAAAUAAAGCCAUUGAAACUUUAAACACUCAUACUUUAUAAAACACGGACCUACAAGCCUUUCAUAACAUAAAAACAAUAUGGUAAACCCAUACUUCUUAGGCAGUGAGAAAAAAAAAAAUUGCAGGAACUAUGUAUAAUACAAACCUGGGGCAUCACUUCAGCUUCAACAACCGAAACAUAAUUUGAUAUUGCCCAUAUACAGAACAAAAUAGCUUCUGCUGGACGCCAAUCUUGAAAAUCAUUUCCUGUCUGAGCAUUGGCCUAAGUACAUAUUUCACAAAAUGUCAAAGAUUCUGAAAUCCAAAUGAUGUAAAAAAUGUAACUGUUUGGUGCUGAUAAUCCUAAUUGUGUUCUACACUGAUCGUAUUUAACUUUUUCAAUAUAUAAAAAUGCUGAUUCAAUAUCUCCCAAUGCUUAUUUUGUAUUUAAUGAUAGAACAGAUAGCAUGCAUGGACAUCCAAAGCACAAACCUCAAGAAGUUUCAUAUAGAGAAUCUUAAGAGUAGUAUCCCCUCCCAGGAUUAACGCUGCAUCUAUUAAUACAUCUGCAACAGCUGAAAAUGUCACAAACUUCAUCAGUAAAAUUGGAUUGACAGAGCAACGGUCCAGAGAAGUAAACAAGAAAAUGAGGCAAUUGGUACCAUCAGAGAUGAUUGAGAGCACAAUAAGUAGCACAUAUCAACAAAUGUAUGAGGAAUAAGAAAAUUAAAAGACACAUUACGAGAUACAGCACCCUACCAAAGCUAAGUGACUAAAACAACCAAAAAAACUCAGAAGAACAAUACUUUAUCUGCGUCAAGAAACAAGUGUAAAGGAUGGAAACAUAGGGAAAGAAACAGUGCUAAGCAAUCAAAUUAAGAAAAUCUAAGGUCGCGCUGAUCUAUUUAGAAAGCUCUGAGGGCUACACUUCUUCCUUAACACCCUUAUCUCGAGCGGUUUUGAUCUAAUGUAAUGUUGAGAACAAGCAAUACACGGCUUUGAUUACCAUAUCUAGUCUGCUUGAAUUCCUUAAGGUCCUCAUAUGUGAGGCCUUGAUAAUCUUCAGGAUACUGAACUCUGAAGCCAACCUGUGAAGGGAAACCAGUGUAUAGGUGACAUAAACUGCAGAGCAUACAAUAACCCAUAUGAUUUUCUAUUUCCACCAUAAGAUGAUCGACCAAAUAAAAAACUUUAGCAAUCCAGAAUUUUUUUAAAGAGCAAUAUUAAUUUAAAUGUAAGUCACGAGCUUCAAAUAUUCUUGAAAGAGUAAUACUUUAGAGUGGUAUCUGAUGACUCACUCACCAAAGAUACAAGGCUCUGAUAGGCUGGCUGAAAGAUAUGUAGUCUUCGGUUUCUCUCAGCUUCAAUGGAUGCUUCACUACCCAAGGAACUAUAAGAAUCCCUGAUAAAUUAAAAAUCUCAGCAUAUGACCCUAGGAACACCCAACAAACAUAGACAAGGCUGAAGUUACCUCUUUGUCAACAUAAGUUGAAGACUGUGCCAAAAGUUGAAGGUCAUCGAGGCUAUAUCAAAUUCUGGGUGUGCAGUAACUUCCAGCAGGGCAUGCACAAUAACCAUUGAUUCAUCUGAACCUAGAGGCAGAAAUAGUACCUUCGAACAUAUUAGAUUACCAGCUAAAGCAUUUUGCGCACCAAAAGCAAUCAAGACACAUGAAACAGAACACUUAAAAUAACAAGACAGAGAAGCAGAAAUGAGGCCGUAUACCAGUAGCUAUCAGUUCAACAUAUGAAUCGCCUACGUCAGCGAAUAAUCGACCAAUGGCUUUGACAUCUUCUUCAUCCUGAAAGUGAGAUAAUUCUAAGAAUCAAAAGAAAAAAAUACAAACACAUGCCAAAAAUUACAACUAAUUAUGAGGGAUAUCUUUAGCCACAUAUCCAAGUCAUAUAAACCGAAAAUAGCCCUUUUAGAACUACAUUUUAAUUAAGUUAAACAAGUAUAAGCCAUUAGCUUCCUACUAUUUGAUGCAUCUGAUAAAAUUUUCCCUUAAUAGAGUCCAGGAGUAACAGAAUCAUAGCCGUUCAACCCACAAUGAAGCUUAAUAUUAUGCAGAUUCAGCCAUCAACUUGUAUCAAUACCAAAGGUAAACAGUACCUUUGAAGAAUCUCUUAGAUGGGCCUUGAGACUUAAAAUCUGAGGCACAAUAACUUGAAUCAAGGGUGUUUGUGCAGAAAUACCACCAGAACUUGGUGAUGCUGUGUGAUGUAUCAAUUCAGAGAUAACUGCGAAGUUGAAAAUGAAGUUUAUCUAUUAAAACUCUAAUAAUGAAUUCUAAGGAAACAUUGACUUGUAGAUUGGAAAGGCUUUUUCUAUUUGAUAAAGAAUAAAAAAAUUCUUGCUCAUUAUAAUGAAGGUGAAUAAAACAUCUUAAGGCAAUACAGUAUACCACCCCAACACACAUCAAACACUAAUUUCCACAAUUCAACAAGAAAAGCUUAACAACCAAUUUCUAGAGGCUCUAUUUGCAAAUUCUCGAACUUAGCAUAUUCCAACUAUGAGACAACAGGUAUGCUAGAAAUUCCGCAGCUCCCAUAGAGUUCCAAUACCAGACAUAUAUCCAGGCCAAAAUAUCAAUGUGAAGUAUUCCAAGACUCUAAAGGCCUAUGUAUAUAUUAGCUUUUCCAACGAGUAUACCAUUCACAGAUGCCUCUGAGAGUGGAUCACAGUUCAAACUUGAGAGAGCUGCAUGCACCAAUGGAUGACCGGCAAGCACUGCUCCAGGAAUCCUGAGAAAGACCACCCCAAAGUUUACCAGCAUACAGUUCAGUCAGUAUCAUCGUUGCUAAGUUGAAUUGGUGAAAAUAGUCAAGGAUAGCAAGUAGAUUCCAACGGCAAUGAAUCAGAUAAAACUUAACUCUGUGUCUAAGAGAUUCUAUAUAGGACAAAAUCUAUGACCCAUAUAUCAAAACAGUUUACAACCUGAUGAACUCACAAUGAAUAUUUGUAAUCUAGACGAGCUUUUGUUCUAAAUAAAACUGGAGAUAGAACAGCAAAAAAAAAGAGCAUACCCAUGCCUAAGACGGAGCCAAGAAGCAAAUGCCUCGAGAACCUGAAAAAUCAAAAUUACAGAACACAAUUGGCAAUAAGUUUAUGCUUGCAACACCAAAGACACUAGCUGGUCCAACACACAGGAGCACAGGACAUUUUUCAGAAGAAAUAUAAAAUUUUGGUAGGUGAGUGAAAACCUAAGAUGUAAUCAAGCUUUUACAUGAAACUAGCAAUAAUGUUUUUAGAAGGCAAACAUAGACGUUGACUGGUAAAGCAAGCAAAAAUUGGUGUAAAGUUAAAAACCCAUACAUGUAUCAGAAACAUAGAAAAGGUUCUUUAAAUGUGUUAUACAGAGGGGUCAUGGAAAGUGAAUAACAAACUAUCUAUUGAACUAUGUCACGACUCUAUAUUAAAGAUAAGCUCUGACCUGUUCCUUAAGUUCGGUUAUAUUCAAACAUGCUGUUAAGAUAUUAAGUGCAGCAUCCAUUUGAGAAGUAAGCUCGUUUUCGAAUUGACGUCGUCGAUCCGGACGAGCAGCUAUUUUGUAGUUAAACGUUUCCUGGUCAUAGCAAGAAGGACAAUAAAAAAUCAAGACAUCAUAUAACAAUCUAGAUUAAAGGUAAACAUCACUAAAGAGAAUCAAGUUAAUGAAAGGGAAAGGUGGUAAGAUGUGGCAGAGAUUUGGGAAAAAUUAUAGAAUUUCCAUUUUAAUUACAAUUAAACAAUCAACAUUUUUUGCAAAUAGGACCAUGCAAAAUAGAAAGGUCUUGUCUAGCCGAUACUUAAGGGAUUGAAAUAACACUUGCAGAGAAACUUAGAACACUACUUAAACAUAAUAACGCUAACAGUAAAAAGGUACAGAAUAUUUUUGAGAUCAGUAAUACCAGCAUAACUAAGAAGUAAGCAGAUCCAAGUCAGACCAAAUAAGGCCUUUCAUAUCUAUAUAGCCGGAUACAUGAAUCCACUUUAAUUACUGAGUGAGAUGAACACUCAAACAAAGGAAUGGAAAAUACUCUACCUCGGGCAAAACUGUCAAGAGUUCCAAGAAACCAGGCACAUAUUCAGGAUGCAUGUUCAUCUCAUCCCUAAGCCAGCUAAUUAUACCGCCAUCUCCCCAAUCUGCCGCAGGAACAUGCACCGCCAAGGCAGCAACAGCAAUACUAAUCUACAAUAUAAGAUACUUAAAUAAGAUAACUCGACACAAAGUACAUGACUUUACACGCACAACAGUAAAUUCCCGCAUACGCAUAAUGGAGAAUGAUUUAUGAAGCUUACCUGGGUCCUAACUUUUGGGGGGCCUUUGUGGAACUUUUUUAACAAUGUCUGCAUUUGAGAAAAUAAUGAAAGUCAAAUUUUUCCGGGAAGGCUAAGAAAGUACUUGUCCAAUACCAAGAAUAUUAGGCCAGAAAAAUGAAAUCAUAGUAAAACCUAGAUGCCAGAAUACACUAAGCAAAACACUAGUUCAACUGACUUUUCCUAUUACAUUAUUGCUAAAAGGAACAGAAAUACAUAAAUAUUCAGAAACCCUACAACUCAUGAAAAAUUAGUUAAUGGAACGAAGACUCACCGUUAAUGAUUGCCGUAGCUUCUGAAAAGCCCCAGGUGGUAGUUCUUCAAAAUCUCGUUGAACCUUCGAGAAAGACAGAUUAAUUGUCAACAGAGUGCAGUCUCCAAGAUUGUGUGAUAAAUGAAUAACGAUUUACAAAAAAUUUCAAGUGCAUUUACCUUGCUUCGAAGGGUUUGAGAACAGAAUAUUAAAGUUUCCAAAUUGCUAGAAGAAUCAUGAAGUAAAUUAUCCGCAACCUAGAAUAGAUACAACAGUACAGAGUAAGAAACAUUGUAAAACUGCUCCACCAAACAAUCCUCUUCUCCGCAUUAACAAUCAUGUGUCUAAAAAACAACUGGAAGAGCUCAUAAAACCUAGCAAAUCGUUUAUGUAACAAGGUAGAUCUAUUCACACACCUAACACAUACUUCUUCAAACCAGCUACAAAUUGAACUUACAUGUACUGAAAAUUUGAGAUUUCUGCUAUGCAUAAGACUAUGUGACCUUAAAGAGCGAAUCGCUAGUACAAAUUGACUAAAAGGAUGAAACUUUAUGCACCUACAUGGUCUAAAGUAGCUGAGAAUCGAAUAUUAAAGCUCUAACACAAGUGCUACAAAAGAAGGAAGAACAAAUCGAACCCAAACAAAUCGAGAUUAAAUACCCGACUGAUAAAAUUAAACAAUUGAAAUCGAAAAGAAAAACUCGCCUGCCAAGCAUCGAGAGUUCCUUGGAAGGUCUGGAGCCAGCGAUCAGCUUGGACACGCACUGUAUCAUCCGGGUGAUGAUACAGUGCGUUUAGGGCUUCUUUGACCGCGUUCUGAUGCUCCAUAGCUAUAAUCCUUGAGCGUUUUUUGCUCGUACGGCCACCAAAUCACGACCACAGAGAAAAAGACCCAGAUUGAGAAAGAGAAGUAUUUGCCCAACUGAAAUUCGGGAUUUUGUCAAAUCGAUUUCGCCCAACACAAAAAAAAUUUUUUUUUUUUUUUUUUUCCCCUCUUUGUCAAAAGGGUUUUUUUUUUGGCGCCCCUCAACUUGAGUGAGAGAGAAAGAGAAAGAGAUCGAAAUUUCGGAUUUUGAUCUGAAAGAGGAUGAAGAAGAGAGAAUCUCAGCCGUUAGAUCUGAUUACUUUGACUUUAAGUCAAAUCCUUCUUUUUAUUCUGAAAGAUAUAGGCUGCAAAUGGUUGACACAAAAUACCAAGCUGAAAGAGUUGAAUGAACAUUCAACUAAUUUUUUACCAUUUGAAAUGAAAAAGUUGAAAAAAAGGAUUCAGCCCAUUCAACUUAAAAACCUCAAAAAUUGAACAAAUUUUACAGCAAAAAUGUUCAACUCAUUCAACUACAAUUUUGUAGAUGAAUUGAUUGAAUGAUUUUCAACCUAAUAUUUUCCAACUUAAUAUAUUCAACCCAUUCAAUUUUAAACAACCAUUUGUAGCCAUAAAAGUUGUUUACUUUUUUCAGUUGUUGCAAUCGAUUGUUAAAAAAACGGAUCAUUGAUUCAUCGUAACAUAAAGAUUGUACAAAGAACAAGAUUUGAGAGCAACAUAUGCGUUCUCUUGUGUCACUGAAUCAAUCGUUACAUGUUAUAACAGACAAUACAACGAUGUUUUAUAAAGUGUUAAUCUCUCUGGUCACUCUCAUAUCUAUCUUAUGAUGAUUUAACAGCAAAAUGAUACACACAGAAAAAAAAUAAAGGGUUGCAUUCAUUUUUACUGCCUACAAAACACAUCCAUCAAUCAAAGAAAGGCUUUUUUUUUAUGUAGUUCGGUUAAAGUUCCCAUCAACCUGCAUAUGGAGCCACUCCGGUUGAGAUACUCGGGUUUCGUUAGCUUCCUGUUGCUCAUAUAUUGUUCGAUGAACGUCAAUCGGUAAAGUCCCGAGCUGAUACAACACCAAGAGCUUUGAGAUUUAGUAGUUUUGAUCAUGAAUGGUUAUGUUUUUCUAUGUUCUUUCAGAUUUGGGACUUACAUCACCAGAAGGAAAAACUCCUAUUGUUGGACCAGUACUUGCACCCGAGUUAACAACUUCUAGCUUCAUUGACAGAAACUGUAGACCAAAUUCCAUGUUUAGACAUGUACAAUUGAAACAUAUAACAGAGAGGAGUUAACGACUUUUACCUCAACUUGCCGCUGCAACGACUGAAUAUAAUUGAUAAUCUCAUCGAGCACAAGGGCUUUUCCGAUUAUCUGAAAUCAACGGAAAUAUCUUGUUGAGUGUUUUUAAGGCUAUAAGAACAUCAUUCGCAAGACCAUAAGAAAACAGACUUGUCAUGUACCUUGUUACAUCCUGGAAUUAUAUCUUGAAGAGCUGUCAUCUUCUCACUGAUCUUUUCUCUUCUAGCCUGUCAAAGACAACAUUGUGUUUCUAAUAAAAGGAACAGUUUUUGAGGAUAAAAAAUUGGUAAUUCAGCAGAAGAAUUACUCGCUCUGCUAGACUAUGCCGGUCAGUAGCUUGUCCUCUUCUUGCUCUCACAUGGAUAUAAUCCUUUGGUGGCUCAGGUUUGUUCUUCUGUUCCGUUGCUUUGCUUCCACCACCACCACCCGAACUUGUUUCGCCUUCAGGUCUCAUCGAACCAUCUCCAUUUCCACUUUCAGAUCCACACAGUUUUCUUUUCUUAUCGCCUGAUUCUUUCUGUUAAAAAAAGUAAACAGAUGGAAAUGCUUAAGAUCCUAAACCAAACUCUCGAUCUAAAAUCACUUAAGCGAUAUACAGAGAGAAACAAUGAGCAUUGACCAUUCCAACAUCUAUCAAACUAACGGUCUUUAAGCUCAAUCCAACUAAGUCAAAAAGUCAAAGGAUAUAAGUCAUCUAAUCUAUAAACUAAUCCUUGAUCCCUAAAUCAAAGACUUAUGCUUUGACUCAUUGAUUUCUUAGAUCACCUCCAAGCUAAGGAUCUAGAUUCAAACUUUAGUUACAGAUUCAAAUACUCAAAUCAAAAUCAGGGCUUUUCAAAAAUUGAAGUGCAAAAGCUCACCAAUUCAUUACCACUGCUGCUGGAAGAAACCAUCUUUGAAGAAUCGUCCUCAGAGUUCAAAUCUCUAGUCUUUCUACCUCCCCAGCCAGCAGUUAGAUCGGUGACAGUAGAUUCCUCCGCCGCGGAGACGUCUUUAUUGCCGGAAUGUUCAGACCGAGUGAAGACUCGACCGGAGUUAACGGCUAAACGGAGACCAGAGCGAACGGCGUCGUUUACAGGGAAAGGCCAAAUCUCGGAGAGAGUGUAAGAAGAAGGAUUAGCUGCGGAGAAGGAGGAAUCGUUCACAAGUGGAGGGUCCAUUUCCGAUGAUCGUAAAAGGGUUGACCCAGAUUUAGGACCCGGAUCCGAGAAGUGAGGAACUUGAUAGAAAAAGAAGGAAAAGGUUUGAGCUUUGCGAGGUCUUGUCUUGUUUAUAGGGUUGUGUAUGAGGUGGACAAAUAGAGAGAUAGAUCGGAGAAGGUAAGAGAUAUGAGGCAAGUGAUAAUGCGCCACUAAGAUGCAAUUGAAGACAAAUCUCUUUUAAUUACAGUACACAGUUUACAGCUACUGUAUAUAUUGCCGUUUUGUUAAUACAAAUUACAAUUAUAUAAAAAAAAAAUAUAUGAGAACAGAAAAUGAUGAGAAAAAUUAUUGAAUAAAAUAGGUAGAUUUAUACGAUGACCUAAAUAAUUUUAAAAUUAACCAAAGUAACCCCCUCACAUAAAUAAACUUUCUUUAGUAAUCCUUGAUUGAUUUAUUAUUUUAAUCAAAGUUGUCAUUUAAUCCAAGUGAUAUUCAUUAGUUCUUUUUUUCUAAUUAGAGUUAAAGUUUUUUUUACUAGACAAAGUCUUUGUAGUGGCAAUGAUUCAAGUGUAUGUAUAGUGAGAUAUAUCAUCUCUUCAAAUGUCAACGAAAAUCUAAAAGAAUAUUACCAGAACUGUUCCACCGCCGGUAUUGGAGUCUUCUACUUUCAUUUUCUUGUUGAAAUCGAAGACUUUGGUUCUGAUAUAGUCUUCUUUGUUCCUCAGCCAAGUCCAAACCUUCUUAAUGACAAGAGAGUCGUGGACUUUCAGUUACGCUGUUCUUGAUGUUUUUAUUCAACGUCGCAUUAUUUUAACCAAAAAUAAGUUAAAUAUUAGUUGUUCUUGAUUUGUUUUUUGUCAGUCGUUUCGCUUUUUCUUAAUAAAAAAUAGAAUUAGGGAGUCCAAUGAUGUGGGUAAGUUUCUUCUCUUGAUGGGUUCUUUCUUGUGAAUUGUUAAAAGAUGAUAUGAUGAGCCUAAACAACGCCUUUUGUAUAUGUGUAUGUGAUAUGCAAACAUAUAUAUGGUUGGUAAUGACGCGCAACAUUAACUUUGUUGAUGGAUGAUAGUCUAUAAUGGAGAUAAGUAUAUAUGGCUGUGUGGAUUUCGUGAAUAAUAAGCAUUUGAUCAUCCGUGAAAGAAUAAUUACUCAUUUCGUAACGGAGUUUGUAUAUACUAAGAUUUCAUUUUGAUUGACCUUCUAUUCCUUGCUACAGAGUUUCAAUGCUGUUAUCAUCUAGCAAAGACAUCGAUGUCCAAUACAUAGAUUUUUUAAAGUUAUGUAACAUGAGCUAGGCUAAAAUAUAUGACGUCAAAUCACGAUGUGAAAUUAGAUGGAUUUUUGUUUAAAUAAUUUAUAACACGAGCAAGGCUACAAUAAAAUGUUUAACUUCCGUGUCUUUUUUUUUUUCUUUACAAAAAAAAAGUGUAUCUUGAGCAAUGAGCAUAUACGGUCUUUCAAUUGUGAUCAUCUUAAGUUCUUGUGAUAAUGGACCAUAAAUUAAAUUUUAAUUGCUUAAUCACAAAAGCCAAAUUCUAGCUAGCUAAAUAUAUAAAACGCUAACAUGAAUGAUAGAUAUGACAUGUUUUAGUUUUUUUGUUUGUUUGUCGGCGAUCUUCAUAGUUUAUAACUUUCCAAGGUAGUUGCGAACAAAUACAAAGAGCCAAGAGUGUAAUUUUUCGUUUCGAUGGUUUCAAGUUCAGCCUUGCAUGCUUAACAAAGAUCACCUUCUUAUUUUCCCAAUCUGAACAUUAAUUGUGUUCUUUAACAAAAAUAAAAAUAAUAAUUGUGUUUGUUUUCGUAUUUUAUAAAUUAAUUAUGAAUAUAGAAAUAUCAACGUUUUAAAACAAUUUAUAACAAAAAAGCUCUUAAACCUAUUUAUUGAAUUAAAACUUAAAAGUCAAUUCUAUACCAUUGACUCCAUCGUUUGAAUGCUCUAAAUGUUUAGCACGAAAAAGUUCGUCUCAAUAGUUAAAGACCAAACAAAUUAGAAAUUGAUCGUUUUUGGGCAAUUUUUUUUUAAAAAAUUAUUUAUUGUUAAUUAUACAGAAAGUCGAAUUAAGUGGAAUGGUUUUUUAUUUAUUUAGAUGAAUAAUAUAAAGGCGGAAAAGACAAGUGGAGAAAGAGAAGACACCUGGAUGCAAAGGUGUCACACAUGAAGCCCAAUUUCAUUGUUUCCAUUUUCCCAUAAAGCCUUUGGUGGUCCACUUUUAUUUUUUUCCUCUAUUUUUUUUUAAAAAACAAGAAACACUAAUUUGAUUAUCAAUUUCUUCUGUUUAAAUUUUGUUGUUGCACAAAAAAAAAAAAUUAUUAGUUUGGUCUUAAAAUUUAGAAAUAACAGAGAAAAUUCAGAAAAGUCAAAAAUAACAUGAGAAUAGGAAUCCUUUGUGACUUCAUUGGUGAUGCAAUGACACAGUUGGCCGAUUUAGCACCGACUAAGUAGACAUUAAUCAAUAAUAAUUUAAAUUUUAAAAAUAAGAAUCGUAUCUACUAAAAAAUGAAAUACGAUAAUUAUUGUUAAAAUUCAUAUAUUAAUAGCUAAUUUAUAUAUACAUUUUUGAUCAUAAUUAACAAAUAAAUCAUGAAGUUGAGAAGUAUUUACAAUGACAUGCCAUUAGCAUUAAUUAUUUAGAUUUGUUUUAUUUAAGUAAAGAUUUUUAAUUGAAAUUCAUUUCUCAUAUAUUUAGCAAAAGUCUCUACAAAAUCUUUCCUUUUCUAUUUAAGUAAAGAUUUUGAAAUCAAAUAUGUUUUCAACAAUUUACCAAAAAUUUAUACACAAUCUUUUUAAAAAUCUCGACUUAGUUAACUUCUGAUUUUUAUCUGCAAAAAAAAAAUUAAUUGUAACGAGUGAUGUAAAAAUCGGGAAUGUUGAUACUACAAUUUCUUCUACUUCUUUUUUUUCAUAUAAUGAAAAUUAUUUUUUAGAGAUAUUUUCUUAAAACCUCUAAACAAAACAAAGGGUUUCAAAAGAUAGCUUCUCUUUUGGUGGGUCGACCCGCAAACCCGCAACUCUCUACGGGUUUAUCCGCAUGAACCUGCGACCCGUAGUGGAUAAAAAUAUUAUUCAAAAAAAUAACAAAUGAUGUUUGAUUUUACGGGACGGGGUUAUAUGGUGCAACGGGUUUAGAUCAAUAUUAAUAUUAAACAAUAUACUAUGCAUGAAAUCCUAGAAUUAAAAAUCAAAAUUUAAUUAUAAAAUCAGAAACACUAAACAAAAUAAACAAUAUUAACAAAACAAAUACAACUUAAAGUUUUGCAAAAUAAUUUUUUAGUUAUAAAAAAAUCGACCCGCGGUGUACCGCGGGGUAAAGUCUAGAUUUGGAAGUUUAAGGAAGAAAUUUUUUUAAAAAAAAAUAAUAGCUCCGCGGUGUACCGCAAGAAAAAUCUUUAUCCUAACUGAGGCAAGAAGAAGAAAAAAGCCAAAUGUCAUUUAAAUGUAUAUAUAGAUACUCAACACUAUUAAUAUAGAUAUAUGGAUGGUAUAUUUAUAAAAUAGGUCGAAAUAUUAUAUUAUACUCUUUAUUAAUAAACAAAACUAAUUAUAUUUAGAAUUUAAAAAAAAAAAAUUAUAGCCCCGCGGUACACCACGGAUUCAAAUCUAAGUCAUUUUACAUUCUGUGAUCAAGACGAAAACUUUGAUUUGCUUAACCGUUUUAUCUUAUACUUAAUUCGGACCGUUUUUUCUAUUGGUGGAACUAAUUUAGCCAGAAUAUUAAAAUUACUUUAAAUCACACCGUUUCAAUAAAGAUAAAUCCAACGAAUCUAUAACUUUAAUCGAAAACUAAAUUAAAUAAGGAAAAAAGAAAGAUUUAAAAGCGAAGAAAAGAUUCGAAAAAGAGAGAUGGACCAAAACGGCGGUUUAUUCGGACGUCAGCAGCACUAACUAAGAAAGAAAGAAGAGAGGCUUAAGGCUCUUCUCUUCUCUUCUUCCUUUUGCUUCCUUCUCCAAAUUAUCCUGACGCGUCUCUCUUUCUCUCUAGAAGACUAAAAUUUUUCCUUUUUAUGUUUCUUUUGGGUUUUGAAUUUUCUCACCAAAGAUUUGUCUUUUCCAAGGAAAGUUCUUGAUUUUUUCUCUUCGUGUUUUAAGGGUUUUUCAAUUGAAACAUUUUCAAUCUCCGAAUUUUUAGUAACCUAACCACAUCAAUCUACUGAUUGUUUUCCGUUCAUCGUGAUUUCUCAAGAUUUGAUUUUUUUUUUUUUUUUUUUGAAAAUUUGAAUUUUGAGAUUCUGUUCCUCUUUGAUCAUCAUCACUAGGGUUUCUGUUUCCAGUAAAAAAGUUUGGAUUUUUCUUGGUAUAAUUUAGGAAUGAGGAAGCCCAAGUUAUCGAAACUCGAGAGGUUAGAGAAAUUCGACAUGUUCGUCUCUCUUAGCAAGCAGAGAUCUGUUCAGAUACUAAUGGCGGUUGGGUUACUCUACAUGCUUCUAAUCACAUUCGAAAUCCCUUUCGUCUUCAAAACCGGGCUUAGUUCCUUGUCUCAGGAUCCGUUAACCCGACCCGAGAAGCAUAAUAGCCAACGAGAAUUACAAGAGAGACGAGCUCCGAGUCGACCUUUUAAGAGUCUGCUUUACCAGGAAUCACAAUCGGAACCACCGGCUCAAGGUUUAAGAAGGAGCACUCGGAUCUUAUCUAGUUUGAGAUUUGACCCGGAAACGUUUAACCCGAGUAGCAAAGAUGGGUCAGUGGAGCUUCACAAAUCCGCUAAGGUAGCUUGGGAAGUUGGUCGAAAGAUAUGGGAAGAGCUUGAGUCUGGGAAAACGUUGAAAGCUUUGGAGAAGGAGAAGAAGAAGAAGAUUGAGGAACAUGGGUCAAACUCGUGCUCUCUCUCUGUUUCCUUAACCGGGUCUGAUCUUUCGAAACGUGGGAAUCUCAUGGAGCUUCCAUGUGGUUUAACUCUUGGGUCACAUAUUACAGUGGUUGGGAAGCCAAGAGCUGCUCAUUCGGAGAAGGACCCGAAGAUAUCGAUGUUAAAGGAAGGAGAUGAAGCUGUUAAGGUUUCACAGUUUAAGUUGGAGCUUCAGGGUUUGAAAGCAGUUGAAGGAGAAGAGCCACCUCGGAUCCUCCACUUGAAUCCAAGGCUUAAGGGUGAUUGGAGUGGUAAGCCUGUCAUUGAGCAGAACACUUGUUAUAGAAUGCAAUGGGGUUCAGCACAAAGAUGUGAAGGAUGGAGAUCUAGGGAUGAUGAAGAGACUGGUUAGUAUAUUUAUUUGUUCGAAAGCAUUUAUUUUUCAUCUGUUGGUUCGCUUGGUGUUUGUGUUGGGGAUACUAAUUAGUAAGAAUGGGUGUAGUUGAUGGUCAGGUUAAGUGCGAGAAAUGGGCUCGAGAUGAUAGCAUUACAUCUAAAGAAGAGUCUAGCAAGGCGGCUUCAUGGUGGCUUAGUCGAUUAAUAGGUCGGAGCAAGAAAGUAACUGUUGAAUGGCCAUUUCCAUUCACAGUUGACAAGCUUUUCGUGCUUACACUUAGUGCUGGGUUGGAAGGUUAUCAUGUUAGUGUCGAUGGGAAGCACGUUACGUCCUUUCCAUACCGAACUGUAAGUGAUGUUUUGCCCUGACUUAAACUUGUUGUGGUUCGAUUAGUGAUUGGCAUGAACUGAUGAUUGUCUAUGUGGGUGUUUUGUUGGCUAUAUAUGAAGGGAUUUACGCUUGAGGAUGCUACUGGUCUAACCAUUAACGGAGACAUAGAUGUUCACUCGGUUUUCGCUGGCUCUCUCCCAACCUCGCAUCCUAGUUUUUCUCCUGAGAGGCACCUUGAGCUCUCGAGCAAUUGGCAAGCCCCAUCACUUCCUGAUGAGCAAGUUGAUAUGUUCAUUGGUAUCCUUUCUGCUGGUAACCAUUUUGCUGAGCGGAUGGCUGUGAGGAGGUCGUGGAUGCAACAUAAACUCGUGAAAUCUUCCAAAGUAGUCGCUCGGUUCUUUGUUGCACUGGUAAGUUUAGACUAAUUUACAAGUGAUCUGAUUUUGGUCUUCUAGGUUAAAUUAAAGAGCUUUACAUAUCGAAUUGCUAGCUAAACUCAGGUGUUUAUUUGGGCAGCACUCGAGGAAAGAAGUAAAUGUGGAGCUAAAGAAGGAAGCUGAAUUCUUUGGAGACAUAGUUAUAGUCCCUUACAUGGACAGUUAUGACCUUGUCGUCCUCAAAACCGUUGCAAUUUGCGAGUACGGGGUGAGUCCCGCUGAUUCUAAGAUUCAACACUUGAUGCUGUGUUUUCAAUUAUUCAAUAUAGGUAAAGAGUUUCUCUACUCUUUGUUUUGCAGGCUCAUCAACUUGCUGCUAAAUUCAUCAUGAAGUGUGAUGAUGAUACAUUUGUACAAGUGGAUGCGGUUCUUAGUGAAGCGAAGAGAACACCUGCCGAUAGAAGUCUAUACAUUGGCAACAUCAAUUAUUAUCAUAAACCACUCCGCCAGGGUAAAUGGGCUGUUACAUAUGAGGUAAAAAUUUAUAAUCUUUUUGCUUAAAGAAUCAUUUGUAUCCGUUCUUUCCUCAUAUGAAUUCAAAAGUUAAUGUUACAUUAUCUGUUUUUCCAGGAAUGGCCAGAGGAAGACUAUCCACCUUAUGCUAAUGGCCCUGGAUACAUAUUAUCAAACGAUAUCUCUCGCUUCAUAGUGAAAGAGUUUGAGAAACACAAAUUAAGGGUACGCUGCAACAGAUUUUCCCAAUCAACGUUACCUAAUCAAAUUCGAAACAGAACAUAUGCAUCUAUAUAACUAGUCUUUUUUCCUUUCUCUCAUUCUUGAUACUACAGAUGUUCAAAAUGGAAGAUGUAAGUGUGGGAAUGUGGGUAGAACAAUUCAACAAUGGUACAAAACCGGUGGACUACAUUCACAGCCUCAGGUUCUGUCAGUUUGGUUGCAUAGAGAAUUACUUGACGGCGCAUUAUCAGUCGCCAAGACAGAUGAUAUGCUUGUGGGAUAAGUUGGUGUUGACAGGCAAACCUCAGUGCUGCAACGUGAGAUGACACAUACCAAAUCCUCUGUUUCUCUUUGGUUUAUAAGAGGAAAUAGAAAUUCGAAGAGGUUUUUUGGGUUUUUUUUUUGUUGAGUAGCAUUUUAUAGAUAUAGCUUUGGUUGUAUUAUAUCAUCUUGAUCUUAAGCAACGAAUCUAAAAUAGAUGUUAUCUUUUGGUCGAAUUCUCUAUUAAUAUUCUUUCUUUCCUUCUAUUUUGGAGAUUUAAGUCGACAAAUCUCGUACUACUACGUUAAUUAACUACUAUGGUUCUACACUCAGAGUUGGCAAGAUCAUUAAAUCUAGUUUGUUUUGUGCAAGAGAGAAAAAGAUGAUGUUAAAUCUCUCUUGACUAAACUUUUUUCUCUUACCACAAAAAAAAUUAUUGUAUGAAGGUGCGAGAUUUGGGAGUAUUUUUGGUGUUUUGAUUUUUCAUGAAAGGUCAUUUCUUUUUUUUUGGUUGGUACACUUUUAUGCGAAAUUUAUGAGAUUUUACUAGCAAAGGAACUUCUUAAUUUUUCAUACUUUGUAUGUAUAUCAUAAUUUUCAAAAUAUAUUUUAACAUCAACCAAUUAUUUUCAAAGUUGACCCCUACGAAAUAAAAAAAUAAUACGUAAUAUUGAAGAUAUUUUUCUUGUAAGAAAUUGAAAAAAAAAGAAUUUUGAAUAACAUGUAAUAAGCCAUAAUCAAUUUUUUGCAACAUUAUUUUAAUUCUAUAAUAUGUAUAUUAGUUUAUAUGGCCUGAAUUUUAAUUUCUCUUUUAACUUCUUUUGAAAUGAUAAUUUAGCCCAUCCCAUUACCGCUUUAAUUUAUCUCGAGCUAACUAAAGCAGGUUCUCUUCUCUUCACUACGAUUUUAUGAUCAAUUUCUACUGAUCAUCGAUGCUAGAGAUUCUAGUAAUGAUACGGUGAUGAUUUCAGUGUGUUUAAGAGUUUUAUUUCAUCAAUCUUAGUUGUUCAUUUCGAUUCACUUCAAUUUUGAUCAAAUUCUACUUCUCUUCGAUGCUAUGGAUUCUAGUGACGAUUUCUUUGUGUUUUGAUAGUUUGAAUCCAGAUCAUGAUAUGCUUAUUUUGAUUUCGCGAACCAAGCUUAGAGAUUCUAUUUUGGCAGCUAACUAGCUACUUUCUCUUUGUGAACUGUUGAAUUUGCACUAGAUCUGUUUAUGAUUUUUUUUUUCUAUAUACACUAUAAUAUCAAAUGGACUUUUAAAAUUUUUCAAUUACUUUACUUUGUAUGUAUAUCUUAAUUUUUAAAUACAUAUUUUAACAUCAACCAUCUGUGAGAUUUAUUUGCAUGACAUAAAUAAUUUGUUCAGGUUUUCUGAUAAUGAUUGUGAAUCGAAUCAUGACAUUAAUCAGAAAUAUAUAUAUUUUAACAUCAACCAUUUGUGAGAUUUAUGUGCAUGACAUAAAUAAUUUGAAUGUAUGACUCGAUGCUUGAUAUCUGGGUAAAAAUUUGUUGCUUAUUUACUUGUUUUUGACUUUUGUAGCUCAUGGUGUCCCUGACGAGCAUGUUUUUAUCUUGGCUCCCUUAUUGUUGCAUCCCCUUAUUACGUUCUAUAUUAUGAUCCGAAAAAAAAUGAUUUGAAAAAGUUUAGAAUCAGAAGAAUACUGGCACAAUGGCUUCGUAAGCUUGAUGACACCAACUUACUUUUUAUUUAUUUCGAUCUUAUGGAUGAGAGUGAAAGUAUCCUGCACUUGGAAAUUUGAAAUUGUCAUGUCGACAUUUCCUACCUUCAAUACAUUGGGAACUAUUUAUUUUGUAAUUUUGUUUUAUUUAUGUUAUUGUUUUUUUUUUUUUGAUAUUUUGGAUUUUGAUCUUACCUUUGUUUUUUAUGGUGACAAAAUUGACUUUGAUCAAAAAUCAUCUUACUAAGAAGAAUAAGAAACAUGGUAGCUAGUAUAUUAUGAUUUAUUGAUUGAUUUUAUUAUAAAUAAAUUUAAAUUUUUGUAUAAGUUAAAAAUGAAAAAAAACUUUACUUAAUGUGAAACAUAAGGAGUAUGAGUUUCCCAUUAUGUUUAAUUGAACUACUGAUUUAUUUUUACCAAAAGAAAAAAAAAAAAUUAAUUGUUUUCAUUAGUAAGUAAAAGUUAUUUUACGUAAACCAUGUUCGGCCAACCUCUUCUAAUAUACGUUGGAAGGCUAAGGCCCAAACUUUAAUUUUUGCGCUGCAGCAAAGCUGAAUGCCUUUUUAAUCGUGGCCCAAAUAAUAAGUAAUGGGCUUUGGCCUUUUCUGUUUUACCCAUCCGACUCCAUUUAUACCGGCAAUUGUUUCUAAUUUUCAAUUGAUUUUGAAAUUGAAAAUCAAAAAUGAGGAAGAAGCUUGCUUUGGCGCUGAGGCUGAAGCUCAUGAAGAAAUCUGGGAAGAAGAACCUCACUGCUGCUGCUGAAACAAUCCUGAAUGGUAUGCUGCAGAUCUAUGGUUCUUCUGUCUUCGAUUCUUUGAACUUGUUAUGGAUACUGAGAUUUUCAAUUUCAGUCGUCGAUCCUUAAGGUUUUCGAAUUUUGUUAUAGAAUCGGCAAUGAGUACCAGUAUCGUUUCUGGAAACGCUUCAUCUGAGAAGCAACACAGUGAUUCCGAUUCCGAUUCAAUCCCGAGCAAAGGUAUUUAUCAGAUCUGUAGUUAUGAAACCUGAGAUUUCGAUUCAGUAUAUGAUUCUUACGGUUUCCGAUUAUCUUUGUUGUAUAGAAUCGUCUUAUGAAAUGGCUUCCUCUGAUGAUAAUCUCACUGAUAUUGAAGUCUCCAACGGUGUGUUUCAUAUCUACUGUUCUUUUGUCUUUGAUUCUUUGAUUCAUAGAUAGCAACUUAUAUAACUAUCUAAGCUCUUCUCGGGUUUGUAUUCUCAGAACGGUGUGUUGGAUUUAUGUUACAUAUAUUCUCAGUGAGAACCUAUAUCGAUUAGAUUUAUGUUAUAGUUUAGUAUCGCAUAUAUUGUUGCUUGUGUGUGAGAUUUAAAACUGGCUUAUGAGUUAUAUGCGAAUACAUACCUUUUGCAAGGGUAUAUGAUCAUUCCAUUGCUCUGCACUCAUCUUCUCUCUUUUUUUUAUGAACCAGUUGGUACAUCUCUCCCACGCUCUGAUUCUCAGGUUGUGCACGUCAAUGGGCAGCCUGGUACAUAUUAAACUUUAUCUUCUUCUUUGAUUUGGUUUUGUUUUUGACAAUACAGGAUUGACUGGGAUCAAUUUGUUUCCAGCUCAGAUUGUUUAACCGAUAUUUGAUUCUCAGUUAACUUAAGAUUUAGACAAAUGGUCUUUUAUUGUGAACAUAAGAACCUGUUGGAUGUAUGUUAGAUAUAUUCUCAAUGAGAACCUAUAUCGAUUAGAUUUAUGUUAUAGUUUAGUAUUGCAUAUUGUUGCUUGUGUGUGAGAUUUAAGAAUGAACAUUCCAUUGCUCUGAUUUUCUCUUUGCUAAUUCUUGUAUAUCUUUAGUUCAGAUCUGAGCCUAGGAUAAGUUUGGUGCUGAAAUUUUACAAUUUGAAAUAGCAAAUCAAAAUAGUAUGAAAACAUUCUUACUUUAUUUCUCAGAUUUACCUCCGUCGUUUGAUAUGGUGGAUUCUGAUUAUUUCCUGUAUCUUUUUUUUUGUUUGUUGUGACAGGUCUGACUGUCAACAGAAACCAUCUGAUCAGAGAUCUCCCACGCCCUGUUCAACGUCCUCCUGUUGUGCAAGUGUCUCAGCCUCAACUUAGCCGGUCUGCAAGGAAAAAGCUCAAUAGAGGUCCUGGGACCAUGAGCCUCACUGCAGCACAGAAGAGGAUGUUUGGUCAUAGGAAGGGUAAGAAGAAGCACCGUCGUCGGAAGUAUGGUCAUAGCUAUUAAGCUCCCAGCCAGCAAAACAGGGAUGCAUCUUGCAGUGAGCUCAACAAGGAUUUCUAAACUCUCAUUAUAUCCUGUGAUUGAGCGAUACACUGGUUUUGGUUUGUGAUUUCGGAUUUACCAUGUGCACCUUUUGCAAAACAUGGAUUUAGAUUGCAGUGAGCUCAACAAGGAUUUCUAAACUCUCAUUAAAUCCUGUGAUUGAGCGAUACACUGGUUUUGGUUUGUGAUUUCAGAUUUACCAUGUGCACCUUCUGCAAAACAGGAAUAUACUUGGUGUCUGUUUUGGAUUUAAGUAAUAUCUGCUUCUCUCUUAAAUAUCUUGGUCUAUUGCAGGCAAAUAUCACUUCCAAAAUAUGUUGUCAAAUAAUCAGAUAUUUAGUCAUUGUAACCAAGCGAACACUGUUCACUGAUUCCUCUCUGAAAUUCUUCUUGUUCUUACAUUUGCUCAUCCGAUGACCUCCUGAUGCUUGAUAAGACGAAUAUAUCUUGUUGCAAAACCUGCAUUGAUGCUCAACGUUCUUCUUAUCAGAUUCAGUGAUCAUCUCAGUAUCUGAAUCAGAACACUCCAUAGCUCCUACUCCAAGCUCAGUUCUGUAAUACCCAGUUUUCCAAGUCACCAGCUUUUCGCAGUUUCCGCUGUUCCAAUUCAAUCUUUGUUCCCAAGAAACUCGCUGGUUCUUUCCAUGUCCCUUCCAUCAGUUUUUGCUCAUUACUCAAAGAACCAAAUUCACCUCCAUUUCGCAGCUUCUGCUGAUCCAAAACACACUUGUAUCCCAAGAAACUUGCUGGACCUUUGAAUGUAACAGGAGUAGUAAUCUCUUCUUUUAGCAUUCUUUGCUCAUUACUCAAAAACCCAGAUUCAAAUUCACCAGCUUUUCUUCGUUUCUGCUGAUCCAAUCUGUUAUCAUCUCUCAAGAAGCUAGCUGGUUCUUUCGAUGUUCCAUAACUACUAAACCUUUCUUCCAUAAAUCUUUGCUCAUCACUGAAAACCCCAUAUUCAAAUUCACCACCUUUUCGCGGUUUCUUGUUACGCAAACAACCCAAAUCAUAGCUACUUUUAGGUGUUUCAUGAAUCAUGAGUAACAUGUACUGCCUCAGCAAGAAGUUUCAGUCCGUCUACAAACUUGGGAGUACUCUCAGACAAUAGAAUCAAACAAUCCGCCACUUCUAAUUCUUCAUCAUUCGCAUCAAAAACAGAACGCGGUUCAAGAAAUGUACUAUACGAACAAGAAAAUGAAGUCUUCUUAUACCUAACAAGUCUCGAUCUUUUCUUCUUCCUCACAAAACUGAAGAUACGACACAGAGUCAUCAUGGAUUCUUCAUAAACCUUCUGGUUCGUCGAUAAAUGCAUCGUCGCUCGAUGAUUUGAAAAACAUUUCUCGUACCGAAACCCUUUUCCACAUUCUUCGCAUCGAAACAAAAUCUUCUUCAUUAGUUCCGGAGAUUCCAGGGUUUUCUUCUUCGGGUUUUCCCUUAUACCGUAGUAACAAGUAAAAUCUCGCUGUUGGUUUGUUGCGUGACUGAGUAAUCUUCAGAUUUCGCAGAGCUCCAUAGAUGGGUUUAUGUAGAAGAUCUUGGUGUUCUUCUUCCAUUUAGGCGCGAAAUACACGGGGUUUGUUGAUAAAGAAGAAGUCAAUGAAGACGAGGUAGAUGAUGUAGAGGUAGAUAAUAAAGCAACAAACCCAAUCCGGACUCAUUAUCAAAGAAACUCUCAGAUGAGUUGAAGAAAUAAGGAGGAUUAUGCUCUGUUUCUCGUCACUUUCCUGAGAAAUACUGAGAGAGAAAGUGUCGAAGAAACAGAGAAGCUUGAGACUAUCGAAUCAAACGAAAGAAUACAAACAUUUUGAGUUUCUGUGACUUUUCGGGAGAACAAGUGAGCGAGAGGAAUGGAGGAAACAGAGAGAAGCGGAGAAGAUAUAAGCACUGAGCGAAGUAACGUCGUGAAAGGGGCAUUAUAGUAAAUCGUCAAGAACAGAGGAGCGAAACUUUAUUUUUCGACUACAAGGUUCCACGUGGCACAUCAUGACCGUCGAGGCGUCGACUAAAUUGGAAAAAUAAUUUAACAGAAUCUUUUACUCAUAUUAGAAACUGAAGUAGAAAUCAGCUAGGGAAAGCUUUUAUAUUAUGAAAAUAAUACUCGAAAAGCUUUACAAUAUUUGAUAACCCAAGGUACAUAAUUACCAACAAAAACCAAACCUAAAAUCUCUGUUGGAAUUCAUAAAACCAAGAAAAAAAAGCGACAAUUAUUGAUCAAAACAUAGUUAAAGAUAUAUGGAAAAACUCAUGAGAAUUAGGAAAAAAUGGAGAAAAAAGCUAAGGAAGAGGUUUGGUUGUUGUUGAGGCAAGAGCAGGCAUGUCCUUGAGCCACUGGUCCAAUGGCUUACCAAUGGAGUAAACAAUAAAUCCAAUCUGCCUGAGUUUAUCAGCGUCGACCACGUUUCUACCGUCAAAAACAAAAGCCGGUUUCUGCAUAUUCUCAAAGAUCCGUUGGAAAUCGAGUUUCUUGAACUCAUCCCACUCGGUUAAAAUGCAGAUACCUGGGCGCCCAUGCUAAUUGAAAAAGUGGAGUCAUAUAUAUACACUUUAGAUCAAGAUAUCAGAAACCCUUAAAUGAAAUCUGUGAUAACAAAGCACUAUCAAAUGAAAAAUAGUAUUAAGGUACGAAAGAAAGGAAUGAAAUUAUGUAGAUAACAACAGCGUGGCAUCUUGUGAGUAUGUGCAAGUCAAACACACAUAACAGGAAGAUGAUGGAUGAUAUAUUUGUAAAAGUGGAUGUUGUUCAUAGUAAAGCAAAGAAAAUAACCGCGGAUGGAAAAGUCACAAACCAGCUCCAUCAGGGUAAAUAGACUGGCUUUUACAUAUGUAGGUAAAAAUUUUUUUAUGGUAUUUGCCUUAAAAGAAUCAUUUAGAUCAGCUUGUUUCAUUACAUUAAGUUCACAAGUUAGUAUUCAUUCUUUAACAAAUUUUGAAGCAAUCCGCUAAUGGCCCGGGGUACGUAUUAUCAGCCUAUCAUCAUCUCUUGCUUCAUCAUAAAAGAGUUUGAGAGCACAAAUUAAGGCCCAAUUAUUGGUAGCCCAAAGAGUUUACUACUUUUCCUUAGACUAGAGCAAAGACAAACGACGUCGUUUGGGUGUAAGAAGAAAAUUGCCAAAGAUUUUGAAAACCUAGAAUCGUGAGCUCAGCCUGCUCGUCUUCUUCCUCUGUUUUUGUCUCUCUUACUCAGAUCUCAAAAAGAGCUUCUUUAUUUUUUUUUUCCUUCCUUUCCUUAGAAAAAAGAGUAAAUUUUUAUCAAAAUUUCCAGCUCUGAUAUAAAAGUUUGUGAAAUUAGUAGCUAUUGUUAUGUCUCUAGCUCUGAUUUCAUCUUUUCAAUGGAAGAAAAAGUCGUCAAAGGCAAUGAGAAGAAGACGAGGGGACGAUUGGUUCGCAUCGGAGAUUCCUUUGGAUCUCCAGAUCGAGAUUCUGAUUAGAUUGCCUGCUAAAUCGCUGAUGAGGUUCAAGUGCGUUUCAAAGCUCUGGUUUUCUCUUAUCCGUUGUCGAUAUUUUAGCAAUCGUUAUCUUACGGUGGCUUCCCCACCGCGAGCACCUCGUCUAUACAUGAGUUUGGUGGACCACAUCCAGUGUAAUUCAAUGGAAGUCUGCUAUAACCCUCGCGAGUCUGUAUUGCUAUCAUUAUCAUCAUCGUCUAGUACUGAUGCAAAGUCUUUCCACCAAGAUUUGACAAUGCCAGGGAUGGGAGGACGCAACAUGAUGAUUCUUCGCGGCUUGAUUCUAUACAUUGUUUGCAGAAAGGCGUGUAUCUAUAAUCCCACCACCAGACAAUGUGUAACCUUACCCGCCGUCCAAUCCAACAUUUUUGCUCAAGAAGAUUAUCAUAAGAGUGUCCUCUACUUUUUAGGACACGAUCCUGUUCUUGAUCAAUACAAAGUAGUUUGCACUGUUGCAGUAUCCUCAAAAAGGUUUAAGAGGAUAACCUCAGAGCAUUGGGUCUUCGUACUAGAACCCGGAGGUUCGUGGAAAAGAAUUGAGUUUGAUCUACCUCAUUGUCCUGCACGACUAGGACUGUGCAUCAACGGAGUCAUAUAUUUUUUGGCUUCCGCUUGUAUGUCUAGCGAUAUCCUUGUCAGUUUUGAUGUUAUGUCUGAAGAGUUCAAAUGGAUCCAAGGACCUCCUGUCGCGUCUGCAUUUAAGCCCAUGGGUUUUAUAGAGUAUCUUGGAAAACCAUCUGUUUUUGAUCAUUCCCAUCUUAAACGCAAAGGUUCCGUGGACUUAUGGGUCUUGGAAGAUGCUGGAAAAUGGUCGAAGAAAUCCCUGGUUUUGCAGCCUUGUCAGAUGCAUUUAGUUGAUAAGAAAUUAUCAUUCACGGUUAAAGGUACUACUCAAAACGGCGAGAUUAUCUUGGCACCCGUAUUGUUGCAUUCCCCUUAUUACGUUUUGUAUUAUGAUCCCAAAAAAAAUGAUUUGAGAAAGGUUAGAAUCAGAGGAAUACCGAAACAAUGGUUUGGUAAGCUUGAUGACACCAACUUACUUUUUUAUUUCGAUCUUAUGGAUGAGAGUGAAAGUAUCCUGCACUUGGAAAUUUGAAAUUGCCAUGUCGACAUUUCUUACCUUCAAUACAUUGGGAACUAUUUAUUUUGUAAUUUUGUUUUAUUUAUGUUGAUUGUUUUUUUUUUUUUUUGAUAUUUUGAAUUUUGAACUUACCUUUGUUUUUUAUGGUGACAAAAUUGACUUUGAUCAAAAAUCAUCUUACUAAGAAGAAUAAGAAACAUGGUAGCUAGUAUAUUAUGAUUUAUUGAUUGAUUUCACAGCCCUAAGAUUAAAUGAAAACUAACCUCAACUGUUAGAUUAAAAAGAUGACAUCAGCAGACCCAAAAAAGUGGGUUUGCUGUUUAAUUGAACUACUGAUUUAUUUUUACCUACCUUUGUUUGUUUGAAUUUCAAAUCACAUAACAAGUAUACGAGGUAUGUUAAUCUCAUAUGCAAGAUAGAGUCUCUUGCUAGAGACAUUUAGAUCUAUGAUGGUCUUUCAUUGGCAAAGUUAGCAUCUUUCAGCCAAUUGCUUUUCUAUUGACCAUGUCAUGAUCAUAAUCGGAGCAAGAGUUGCCGGUAUAGAGUUUGUCAGUUACUAUUCCUAUCAUCUUUCUUGUGCAUGUAGAGAUGAUGAAUUUUAAGUAACUAAUCACUAUGAAGGGAGAAAGAGAAGAGAAUGAUCAUAAGCUCUCACAAUCUCCUAAACGUAAGUGCUGCCUUGAAAUAAUAGCCGGUGAUAUCAAUAUUCCUUUCGAUCUGACGGUGGAGAUACUGAAGAAACUCCCGGCCAAGUCUCUUGUGAGAUUCUAAUGCGUCUCCAAGCAAUGGUCAACCAUAAUCGGCUCCCGGAAAACUCCCGGCCAAGUCUUCUUCUCAUCAUCUCACAUUUCUCUCUUCUACAAUAUUUCUCUCUCUAGAUUCUGUUCAGGAACUUGUCUUAAAAACUCUCACUCUCCCCCAAACUUAACAAACAUACAAGCAAAACACCCAAUGGGUCUCACUUCUCUUCAAGUUUGCAUGGAUUCGGAUUGGCUCCAGGUAUUUUCACUUAGACUUCCAUCGUUUGUAUUUGUGUUUCUUUUCCAAAUAUGAACAUAAGACUUCACACAUUGCAAGCAAAAAUUCCUUUGUUAAUUAGUUUUAAAAAGUAAAUGUCAAAUACGAAUGGAAGAUCUGUUUGUGUUUGACACGUACUUAAAAAUUGAAAAUAUUUUCCAUUUUAAAUGUGACUUAUUUUUUGUUUUAAUGAAUUUGUUUUGUCCCAUUUAAGUGCACAAUUUAAAAAACAAAAAUUAGGAUUGAAACAAUUUAGAUCUUAUUAAUUACUCCUCUUGAACCAUCGUUUUUGGCGUGCAUGGUGAUGCAUAUUAUGUACCAUACAACUUCGAUUGUAUAGAUUACAAAGCGUAACCUUACCCGCCAUCAAAUUCAACAUCUUUGUUCAAGGAAAUGAUCAUAGUGUCCUCUACUUCUUGGGACACGAUCCUGUUCUUGAUCAAUACAAAGUAGUUUGUAAUUUUGUGUCAUCAUCUUCACAAGAUUUGGACAUGAUAAACUUGGAGCAUUGGGUCUUCGUACUAGAAGUUGGAGAUUCUUGGAAAAGAAUAGAGUUUGAUCAACCUCAUAUAUCUACAAGACCUGGACUGUGCAUCGGUGGAGUUAUAUAUUAUCUUGCUUUCACUAGUAUGUUUGAGGAUAUCGUUGUCAGCUUUGACGUUAGAUCUGAAGAAUUUAACAUAAUCCAAGCGCCUCUUGUGGUGUCUGCAUAUGUUGGCUCUCUGGGUUUUAUAGAGUAUGGUGGGAAACCAGCUAUUUUUUAUCAUACUAGUCUUAAAGAAAACGGUUUGGUGGACUUAUGGGUCUUGGAAAUGCUGGAAACUGGUCGAGGAAAGCUUUGAGUUUGCAGCCUUCUCAGCUGCUUUAGUUGAUAACGACAUUCUAUUGACGGUAGAAGAUACAACUCAAAACGGCGAGGUUAUCUUGGUACCAAGUGAGUUGUGUUCCCCUUUUACAUUCUCUAUUAUGAUAUACUGAAGAAUGAUUGGAGGAAGGUUGAAAUCAAAGGAAUGCCGGACCAUAAGAAGGUUGGGAUCAAAGGAAUACCGGACUUUGGUUUCAAACUUAUGGAUAACAGUGAAAGCAUCAUCCACUUGGAAACUUGAAUACUAUUACUUGUUUUUUUGUUAUUUCUUUUCUUCUCAUUCCAAGCUAAGAUUAUCAUAUUAUCUUAUUAUUUUUCGCCUUUAAUAAUACAAUGCAACUAUUUUAUUUUGUUAUUUUAAUUUUAGGCAACAAACAAUCGUUUAAUAUGUGUUAUUCAAUUUUAUUUUAAAAUCAUCAAGUAAGAUUGGAUUUAAUCGCAGAGGUUACAUGUUCUGUAUAUCAAAUCAAGAACAAGUUUUAGAACCCUUGUGGAUAUAUAUAAGCUUUUGUUUCAAGUAGAAAUGAAUAUAUAUAUAUAUAUAUAUAUAUAUAUAUAUAUAUUUUUCUGUUUUUUGUUUUUCCUUUAAGCAUUCAUCAAUUGUGUAAAAAAAUCUCUGGAAGUGCUUUUAGUAUGUAAAGAAGUUAUCUACCUAAAGAAGUUUACCCUAUAGCCCAUGUUUCUUUGAUAAACCGGUACUAGAAUAACAUUUUUGAAGAGUCAGUGGCUCAACAUGUCCAUGUUUCUUUAAAUAUCGAUUCUCAAUGCCUUGAAUUCAACAGGUCCUUAAUUAUAAGUAUAUCGUAUGGCCAGGUCGGAGAUUUGACCUCAGGUAAAUGAAAGUAUUGUCUGAGGGUAGGAUUAUACAUUGUGACCAAAUGACGUCUUAUGAUCACCGAACAACAUUGUAAGCCGCAGACUUAUCGAUACUCAACACUUUCGAAAGGGAUUAUUACUUAAGGUGCGAGUUUUUGUUUCUUUGUGUAGGCGAGAAGAAUAAGACAUGGUUGUCACUAAACCAAUGGUGAAGUGGGAACGUUGGAGCCUUGCAGGUUAUUCAAAGAACGAGGCACGAUCUAGUCAAUGAAGACGCAUCACAACCUCACGAGGGGGACUUUGCUAGGAUUGUCUUGAGUAUCUCAACCGUUUACUCGAGAGAGAUAUUGAUAUCGUUGAGAUUUUAAGACUAAAGUUCAGAGCCGACUUGCUCUGAUACCAAUUCAAAUCAAGAUCACAUUAUUUUGACUGCUCUGAUUAAGUUACUGAAUGAUUCAGAAAGUGAUUCAGCAACACGAGAACAAGAGAUUAAAGAAUAACCUUUCUUUAUUGAUUUAGAAACUUCACAAAACUAAAUCUCUCUCUUCUGUCCUCUCUGAGGUCUUAUGGAACAACUCUCCAUAGCCUCUCAUAUAUAGAACUUAUCUACCCUAAGUCUAUAUGAGUCUCAGAUCUGUCUCAACACCUCCACGUGUCUUAACUCUCAUCUUCGGAUGGUGGAGCUCCUCUGGUAGCAGAACUCCCCCCGAGCUGUUCUGAGCUCACCCCGAGCUAUUCGAGCUCCCCUGGGCUAUUCGAGCUCCCCGAGCUACACUAAGCUCUUUGAGCUUUCUCUCAAGCUCUCUCUCUUCUUCUUCACGAGCUCUCCUCUUGAGCUGCCUUCACGAGCUCCCUCUGAGCUGCUCUCACGAGCUCUCCUCUGAGCUACCUCUGAGCUACCCUCUGAGCUACUUCGGCUAUACGAGCUACUCAAGCUCCUUGAGCUCCUCUGAGCUACACGAGCUCCCCGCUUGAGCUGCACGAGCUCCCCUGCUGAGCUGCCUCUCUUGUUCUUCAUAAGGCUCUUAUUUAUACUAGAACCAAGCUUCUUCUUUUCCUAUUGUGAAUAGGAAGACUUACAAAUCUUGUCCAACUUGAUAUUAUUUGUAUUUCCUUUUCUCUUGAUUUCCUUUCUUGGAUUUCCUUUCUUGUAUCUCUUCUAGCAUCUUCUAGAAGGAGAUAACUUGCUCCUCAAGUUAGUUGGAAUUAUCCAACAUUCUCCCCCUUAAUUCCAACUUGAAUUCCGGGAAACUUGAUUCUCGCCAAUGCCUUAGUAAGUGUGUCCGCCUUCUGCUCCACACCUUGAACAUUCUCAACUUCAACCUUUGUUGAGAUACAAUCUCUUGCUCCUCCUUAGCUUUUGAGAUCUUCAAAUUUGACUGCAUCUUAGUAUCCACAAGCAUUCCUUGAGCAUCUCCCUCUUGUUCUGCUCCUUGAAUUACUUCUUGUACUAGUGCUUGUACUACUUCAACGAUUCCUUGAACACAACCUUCUUGUUCUGCUCCUUGAAUCACGUCUUGUACUACUUCAUGUAAUACUUCAUGUACUACUUCAGCGAGAAGUAUUCCUUGAGCACAAACCUCUUGUUCAACUCCUUGAAUAACUUCCUGUAGUACUCUCUGUACUACUUCAACGACUAGUACAGAAUACCCAAAUAUCAUAACCCGACUUGGUUUGAUAUUCUCUAGACCCCGACUUGGUUCUAGCAUCUCUAGAAUCUGACUUGAUUCUAGCAUCAUUAGAACCUGGCUUGGUUCCAAUAUUGACCAACCAUCUACCUUCUUGAGAUGCGGCCUCGUGAUCACACUUCUUGACCAAUCAUCUACCAUCUUGAGAUGCGGCCUCAUGAUCUUCUUAGCUUUUAGUAAGCUUGAAUGACGUUCGGCUUCUCCCCACAUAUCAUUCAGAAUCUUCAUUAGGUGCCUAGAGACUCCUCCUCUAUGCAACCUCAAAUCUUCAUUAGAUGCUUAGAGACUCCUCCUCUAUGCAACAUCCUCUCUUCAUUAAAUGCCUAGAGACUCCUCCUCUAUGCAAUAUCGAUUCUUCAUUAGACGCCUAGAGACUCCUCCUCUAUGCGUAAUCGAUUGAACUCCAUUAGAUGCUUAGAGACUCCUCCUCUAUGCAACAUCGAAUAUUCAUUAGACGCCUAGAGACUCCUCCUCUAUGCGUAAUCGAUUAAACUCCAUUAGAUCCUUAGAGACUCCUCCUCUAUGCAACAUCGAAUAUUCAUUAGACGCCUAGAGACUCCUCCUCUAUGCGUAAUCGAUUGAGCUCCAUAAACUCUCCUCCUUUAUCGGUGCGAAAGGUUUUGAUGGACAAGCCGGCUUGCUUCUCCACACACUCUUCAAACCUUUUGUACCGAUCGAAAACUUCAAUCGAUAUGUCAACAAGGAACCACAUGUUCUUGUUGAUCUUGGCUCGUCUCUCACUUUCAACAUAAGCUUGCUGGAAUAAUCCGGAAAUUGUUUCGGACUUCAGAACAUAGUCUUCAAGGUACUACAGCUGAUUCAAUUGUCGACCUGACCUUCUCAGUUGUGCUAGUCCUUGAACUACUUCACCAACCUCACCCUCGUGGUUGUCUUGAGUGAUAUCCUCCAUGACAUCAUCUGCUUCAUGUCCUUCUCCAGCAUCUUCUUCGCGAAUCAACUCAAAAACUUAUAUGACCUAACUGAGCAUGCCAUGUUCUUGUAGAUUCAUUAGCAAUUCAUUCAGUCAGUCCUUCAGCGAGUCCUUCAACGAGUCCUGCAGCAAGUCCUUCAGCAUGUCCCUCAGGAAGUCCUUCAGCUUGCAGACAUGUUGCCUUGCUUAUCUCCAAACAACUUGAUGCUGACCAGCCUUGUCGCAUCACUUUGGAUAAAUUCUGCUUUUGGUUGUGAUCACCGGUUACUCCUCCUUGAGAUUGCAAGACGGACCUUCCUUGUCCCAUGCCUCUGCCGGAACUGUCACCUCCAAAGCUUCCUCUACCAUAACCACCGUAGUUAUAGCUUCCUUUGUUAUAACGUCUUCUUGUUAUAACCGCCUCUGUUUCCUGCUCGAAACUUCCCGUAGCCUCCAUGCUUAGGGUUUGAGGUCCUUGGUCUUUACUUUGGAUUUCUUACUCAACACGUUCUUCAUACUCCAGUAACCUCCCAACAAUGUCUUCAAACCCCAUCCGCUUUAGGUCAAGAACUUGCUCCAGGGAUGCUACAAUAUGAAUGAUCUUGGUUCGUGGUUGUGGAUUCUCGCUUGCCAUACUUGUUUACGAGUCACGUACCACUGGUCUUGUCUAGAGUCUUCAAACUAAGCUCUAACACACCACAGGUCUUGUCCAGAGUCUUCAAACUAAGUUCUGAACUUGUACAGAGUCUUCAAACUAAGCUCUGCCAUACCAUAGGUCUCGUCUAGAGUCUUCAAACCAGAAGCUCUGAUACCAAAUAAAGUUCAGAGCCGACUUGCUCUGAUACCAAUUCAAAUCAAGAUCACCUUAUCUUGACUGCUCUGAUUAAGUUACUGAAUGAUUCAGAAAGUGAUUCAGCAACACGAGAACAAGAGAUUAAAGAAUAACCUUUCUUUAUUGAUUUAGAAACUUCACAAAACGAAAUCUCUCUCUUCUGUCCUCUCUGAGGUCUUAUGGAACAACUCUCCAUAGCCUCUCAUAUAUAGAACUUAUCUACCCCUAAGCCUAUAUGAGUCUCUUUCUCUAGACUCUCAUGAGAUCUGUCUCAACACCUCCACGUGUCUUAACUCUCAUCUUCGGAUGCUGGAGCUUCUCUGGUAGCAGAACUCCCCCCGAGCUGUUCUGAGCUCACCCUGAGCUAUUCGAGCUCCCCUGGGCUAUUCGAGCUCCCCGAGCUACACUAAGCUCUUUGAGCUACACUAAGCUCUUUGAGCUUUCUCUCAAGCUCUCUCUCUUCUUCUUCACUAGCUCUCCUCUUGAGCUGCCUUCACGAGCUCUCCUCUGAGCUACCUCUGAGCUACCCUCUGAGCUACUUCGGCUAUACGAGCUACUCAAGCUCCUUGAGCUCCUCUGAGCUACACGAGCUCCCCGCUUGAGCUGCACGAGCUCCCCUGCUGAGCUGCCUCUCUUGUUCUUCAUAAAGCUCUUAUUUAUACUAGAACCAAGCUUCUUCUUUGCCUAUUGUGAAUAGGAAGACUUACAAAUCUUGUCCAACUUGACAUUAUUUGUAUUUCCUUUUCUCUUGAUUUCCUUUCUUGGAUUUCCUUUCUUGUAUCUCUUCUAGCAUCUUCUAGAAGAAGAUAACUUGCUCCUCAAGUUAGUUGGAAUUAUCCAACAAAGACCGUGAAGUUUCGGUUGCAUCCAUGUCAUAGAUUUUGGGGGGUCUUGUGCUCUUGAAAAUUCUGAAAAGUCUUGAGCUUCGCACCAGAUCCAAUGGUCCUGAAUCCGUUUUCUAAGAACGGAGAGAAUAUGACAUUGAUCACCGAGACCAGAUUUACAAUUACGAUAGAUCAAAUCAUGAGCUUUAUCUCUCCUUCAAGCAAUUCCAUAACCCCGACAGCAAAAGACGACGGCCAGCAGAAUAAGAAUCGCAGCUUCCAGAUUCAGAGAUCGUUGAUCCUUCUUGCUCUGAAUCAUCAAAAAAUGCUUCAACUUUGAGAAAUAGGAACUUUUGAUACAAACUUGAAAAAUCUUAAAGCUUUUGAAUUAGUUUUGUUUCUUGAGCUCCAAGUACAUAAUUAUAGCUAUGAAUAGAAUAGGGGAAUAAUCACAGAAAUGGAAAAAGGAACCGUUUGAAUUAACCUUUGAAUCCGUUUAGGUAGAAGCUGAAAUGACGAAAUUACCCCUUGAAUCCGUUUGCUUGCGGACAUCGAGAAUGUGUCAUUGUGUUGUAUCGAGUCUUCUUCUUCUUUGCGAGGCCACGACCGACACAUGUAACACGUUUUGUACGUAACCAUUUCAAUUUCUUAAAUGAAUUGUAGGUCAAUAUUUCUCUUAGUUAGAAUCCCAUAUGUGCAUAACUAAAUUAGUCGACAAACAAUGUUAAUGUGAUACAAUGAAUAUGUUAAAUUAGAUUAGUAUAGUUAACUCACCUAAAUCGUGUUUGACUUGCAUCAUUUCAAUCAAUGUCUUUAUAUGAAGUUAUUACUAACAAGUAACAACAUAUCGUCUUCUAAAUAUGAACUCUUAAUUUUCAACAAAUUGAGCUUUUUAUACGUUUUAAAGUCAUAUUAUAAGCAAACAAACAUGUAAACAAUACAAAAUAAUUAUAUUGAUUAAAAACAUAUCGUAAAGAAAUCUGAAAUUAAUCGCACUGUAAUACGUUUUAUGCGUAACCAUUUCAAUUUCUUAAAUAAAUAGUAUGUCAAUAUCUUUAUUAGUUAGAAUCCUAUAUCUAAAUUAGUCGACAAACAAUGUUAAUGUGAUACAUUGAAUAGGUUAAAUUAGAUUAAUUAACUCACCUAAAUCGUUACACUGUUUUGAAUAUUUAGAGCUGUCCAUAACCCCUAUUGAAAUAAUCCCGAUUAAACAAAAACCCUUAAUUCAAAUUAGCUUAGCUAGAGAUAUCCAAAUCUUAGCUAGAAAUAACCUUAAUCAUAAUCAUGCAUGUAUUUAAAGAUCUCUCAUUCAGAAACCCAUAAAUGGAUGAUGAAUCAAUGAAAAUUUGUUAUUGGGCUAUACUUAAUUUCAUGAACGAUGUAGGUCCAAUUAGAUACAUAAUACUAAAUGAAUGAUCUAUAAUUAUUAUUGUCCACCGAAAUUGUGAAACUUUUAAAUUUAUCAGCUAAAGUUUCCUUGAAAUAAAAGAAAAUAAAUUAUUUACAACUUUAUUUAAGAUCAACAUUUUCUACGUUUAAAAAAAAAAAAAAAGUAUAAGUGUUUGUUGUUUCUAGAAUUUUAGCAAAUCCUACAAUCGAUGAUGAUUAUUAAUGUUUUAGGGAAGUUAUUAUUACUAGGCCCAAAAAAUGUAUGGCCCAAGCGGGUUAGGCCCACAUUUUUGUAUAAAUAUAUAAUAAGAUUUUCCGCUUUCUCAACGCAUUUUACGGAUUUUGAAAAUUCAUUUCAUUUCAGAAAAAGAUUUUCGAAAAUGAAGAUGAGUAAGAUGCUCUGCUUGCGAAGGCGAUUUUCGAGAAGAGCAAGAGCUGGUAAAUUUUUCGACAUCUUCCUUCUUCAGAUGACCUAAAACUUGUUUCCGAGCAAGGAUUUUGUAGCGAUUUCGUGUUUAGAAGGAGGAUUUUGCUUUUGUUUUGUUGCUAAAAGUGUUCGUCGGAAGUGUUUUGAGUUUGGUAAAUCUGGAUCUGGUAACGAUGAACUAUUUGAUACUUGAACGAAACUCGAUUUCUGAAAUCAUAGACGACGAGAUUUUGAACCUAUCGAACACACUCAUUGAUGUUGUAUUCCGAUUUUGGUAUGGAUUCGUUGCUUAUUUUCUCUGCGUUGAUCUUAGGUGCGUGAUAGGAUUUUGAUUUCAGCUGUUUAUUCUCUCCGAUUUUCGCUAGAUCUGGUGAAUUUCUGAUUGGGCACUGUUGUACGAUGCUUGUUAGCUAGGUUCAGAUUCAUCGUUGCUUAUUUAUCUGCAUGAUUAGUUCUCUAUGUGUUUUUAGGUUUUGAUUCUCUCCGAUUUAGAUCUCUAUGUUAGGUUUAUGUGCUCUCUGAUUCAGGAUCUCGAUGUUUGAUUUUGCAAUUUGGUUUGUUGCUAAAUGUGUUCAUGGUUUGCGUUUAAUUUUGCUGUUUGUUUUGUUGCUAAUUGUGUUCCUGACAUGAGGCUUUCUUUUUACUAUUCUUGAAUUUUGUAGCUCCUCUCGUUGUCCCUGUGAAUGCCAAUCCUGUCCUUGUUGCUGUUGCUCAAGAGCAAGUUGCUCUCCCAGGUAUAACUCUCUUUCUUCCUUAGCUGCGUGAUAGGAUUUUGAUUUCAAGUGUUUAUGCUCUCUAAUCCUGAUCGUUGCUUAUUUAUCUGCGUGAUUGGUUCUCUAUGUGUUUUUAGGUUUUGAUUCUCUCCCAUUUAGAUCUCUAUGUUAGGUUUAUGUGCUCUCUGAUUCAGGAUCUCGAUGUUUGAUUUUGCAAUUUGUUUUGUUGCUAAAUGUGUUCAUGGUUUGCGUUUGAUUUUGCUGUUUGUUUUGUUGCUACAUGUGUUCCUGACAUGAGGCUGUAUUUUUACUAUUCUUGAAUUUUGUAGCUCCCCUUGUCGUCCCUGUGCAUGCCAAUCCUGUCCUUGUUGCUGUUGCUCAAGAGCAAGCUGCUCUCCCAGGUAUAACUCUCUUUCUUCCUUAGCUGCGUGAUAGGAUUUUGAUUUCAGGUGUUUAUGCUCUCUAAUCCUGAUCGUUGCUUAUUUAUCUGCGUGAUUGGUUCUCUCUGUGCUUUUAGGUUGUGAUUUUCUCCCAUUUAGAUCUCUAUGUUAGGUUUAUGUGCUCUCUGAUUCAGGAUCUCGAUGUUUGAUUUUGCAAUUUGUUUUGUUGCUAAAUGUGUUCAUGGUUUGUGUUUGAUUUUGCUGUUUGUUUCGUUGCUAAAUGUGCUCCUGAGGCUGUCUUUGUACUAUUCUUGAAUUUUGUAGCUCCUCUCGUCGUCCCUGUGCAUGCCAAUCCUGACCUUGUUGCUGUUGCUCAAGAGCAAGCUGCUCUCCAAGGUAUAACUCUCUUUCUUCCUUAAGUGCGUGAUAGGAUUUUGAUUUCAGGGGUUUAUUCUCUCAGAUUUUCGAUAGUUCUGGUAAAUUAUGAUUAGCACGGUUGUACGAUGCUUGUUAGCUAGGUUCAGAUUCAUCGUUGCUUAUUUAUCUGCAUGAUUAGUUCUCUAUGUGUUUUUAGGUUUUGAUUCUCUCCGAUUUAGAUCUCUAUGUUAGGUUUAUGUGCUCUCUGAUUCAGGAUCUCGAUGUUUGAAUUAAUUCUCUCUGAUCUUUAGGUAUUGAACUCUGUGUUUAGGAGAUUUUAUUUUAUAUCAUGUAUAUGUCUGUAGCUCUUGUGCGUCCUGACGUGAGGCUAUCUUUCAACUAUUCUUGAAUUUUGUAGCUCCUCUUGUCCCUGUUCAUGUUGCUCCAGAAGAAGCUGCUCUCCCAGGUAAACAACUCUUUCUUCUUUAGAUCUGAGUUGGUUAUUAUGAGGUUUUAAACUCUUUCUUUAGGUUCUGAAAUUUUACAAUUUGAAAUAGCAAAUCAAAAUAGUAUGAAAACAUUCUUACUUUAUUUCUCAGAUUUACCUCCGUCGUUUGAUAUGGUGGAUUCUGAUUAUUUCCUGUAUCUUUUUUUUUGUUUGUUGUGACAGGUCUGACUGUCAACAGAAACCAUCUGAUCAGAGAUCUCCCACGCCCUGUUCAACGUCCUCCUGUUGUGCAAGUGUCUCAGCCUCAACUUAGCCGGUCUGCAAGGAAAAAGCUCAAUAGAGGUCCUGGGACCAUGAGCCUCACUGCAGCACAGAAGAGGAUGUUUGGUCAUAGGAAGGGUAAGAAGAAGCACCGUCGUCGAAAGUAUGGUCAUAGCUAUUAAGCUCCCAGCCAGCAAAACAGGGAUGCAUCUUGCAGUGAGCUCAACAAGGAUUUCUAAACUCUCAUUAUAUCCUGUGAUUGAGCGAUACACUGGUUUUGGUUUGUGAUUUCGGAUUUACCAUGUGCACCUUUUGCAAAACAUGGAUUUAGAUUGCAGUGAGCUCAACAAGGAUUUCUAAACUCUCAUUAAAUCCUGUGAUUGAGCGAUACACUGGUUUUGGUUUGUGAUUUCAGAUUUACCAUGUGCACCUUCUGCAAAACAGGAAUAUACUUGGUGUCUGUUUUGGAUUUAAGUAAUAUCUGCUUCUCUCUUAAAUAUCUUGGUCUAUUGCAGGCAAAUAUCACUUCCAAAAUAUGUUGUCAAAUAAUCAGAUAUUUAGUCAUUGUAACCAAGCGAACACUGUUCACUGAUUCCUCUCUGAAAUUCUUCUUGUUCUUACAUUUGCUCAUCCGAUGACCUCCUGAUGCUUGAUAAGACGAAUAUAUCUUGUUGCAAAACCUGCAUUGAUGCUCAACGUUCUUCUUAUCAGAUUCAGUGAUCAUCUCAGUAUCUGAAUCAGAACACUCCAUAGCUCCUACUCCAAGCUCAGUUCUGUAAUACCCAGUUUUCCAAGUCACCAGCUUUUCGCAGUUUCCGCUGUUCCAAUUCAAUCUUUGUUCCCAAGAAACUCGCUGGUUCUUUCCAUGUCCCUUCCAUCAGUUUUUGCUCAUUACUCAAAGAACCAAAUUCACCUCCAUUUCGCAGCUUCUGCUGAUCCAAAACACACUUGUAUCCCAAGAAACUUGCUGGACCUUUGAAUGUAACAGGAGUAGUAAUCUCUUCUUUUAGCAUUCUUUGCUCAUUACUCAAAAACCCAGAUUCAAAUUCACCAGCUUUUCUUCGUUUCUGCUGAUCCAAUCUGUUAUCAUCUCUCAAGAAGCUAGCUGGUUCUUUCGAUGUUCCAUAACUACUAAACCUUUCUUCCAUAAAUCUUUGCUCAUCACUGAAAACCCCAUAUUCAAAUUCACCACCUUUUCGCGGUUUCUUGUUACGCAAACAACCCAAAUCAUAGCUACUUUUAGGUGUUUCAUGAAUCAUGAGUAACAUGUACUGCCUCAGCAAGAAGUUUCAGUCCGUCUACAAACUUGGGAGUACUCUCAGACAAUAGAAUCAAACAAUCCGCCACUUCUAAUUCUUCAUCAUUCGCAUCAAAAACAGAACGCGGUUCAAGAAAUGUACUAUACGAACAAGAAAAUGAAGUCUUCUUAUACCUAACAAGUCUCGAUCUUUUCUUCUUCCUCACAAAACUGAAGAUACGACACAGAGUCAUCAUGGAUUCUUCAUAAACCUUCUGGUUCGUCGAUAAAUGCAUCGUCGCUCGAUGAUUUGAAAAACAUUUCUCGUACCGAAACCCUUUUCCACAUUCUUCGCAUCGAAACAAAAUCUUCUUCAUUAGUUCCGGAGAUUCCAGGGUUUUCUUCUUCGGGUUUUCCCUUAUACCGUAGUAACAAGUAAAAUCUCGCUGUUGGUUUGUUGCGUGACUGAGUAAUCUUCAGAUUUCGCAGAGCUCCAUAGAUGGGUUUAUGUAGAAGAUCUUGGUGUUCUUCUUCCAUUUAGGCGCGAAAUACACGGGGUUUGUUGAUAAAGAAGAAGUCAAUGAAGACGAGGUAGAUGAUGUAGAGGUAGAUAAUAAAGCAACAAACCCAAGCCGGACUCAUUAUCAAAGAAACUCUCAGAUGAGUUGAAGAAAUAAGGAGGAUUAUGCUCUGUUUCUCGUCACUUUCCUGAGAAAUACUGAGAGAGAAAGUGUCGAAGAAACAGAGAAGCUUGAGACUAUCGAAUCAAACGAAAGAAUACAAACAUUUUGAGUUUCUGUGACUUUUCGGGAGAACAAGUGAGCGAGAGGAAUGGAGGAAACAGAGAGAAGCGGAGAAGAUAUAAGCACUGAGCGAAGUAACGUCGUGAAAGGGGCAUUAUAGUAAAUCGUCAAGAACAGAGGAGCGAAACUUUAUUUUUCGACUACAAGGUUCCCACGUGGCACAUCAUGACCGUGGAGGCGUCGACUAAAUUGGAAAAAUAAUUUAACAGAAUCUUUUACUCAUAUUAGAAACUGAAGUAGAAAUCCAGCUAGGGAAAGCUUUUAUAUUAUGAAAAUAAUACUCGAAAAGCUUUACAAUAUUUGAUAACCCAAGGUACAUAAUUACCAACAAAAACCAAACCUAAAAUCUCUGUUGGAAUUCAUAAAACCAAGAAAAAAAAGCGACAAUUAUUGAUCAAAACAUAGUUAAAGAUAUAUGGAAAAACUCAUGAGAAUUAGGAAAAAAUGGAGAAAAAAGCUAAGGAAGAGGUUUGGUUGUUGUUGAGGCAAGAGCAGGCAUGUCCUUGAGCCACUGGUCCAAUGGCUUACCAAUGGAGUAAACAAUAAACCCAAUCUGCCUGAGUUUAUCAGCGUCGACCACGUUUCUACCGUCAAAAACAAAAGCCGGUUUCUGCAUAUUCUCAAAGAUCCGUUGGAAAUCGAGUUUCUUGAACUCAUCCCACUCGGUUAAAAUGCAGAUACCUGGGCGCCCAUGCUAAUUGAAAAAGUGGAGUCAUAUAUAUACACUUUAGAUCAAGAUAUCAGAAACCCUUAAAUGAAAUCUGUGAUAACAAAGCACUAUCAAAUGAAAAAUAGUAUUAAGGUACGAAAGAAAGGAAUGAAAUUAUGUAGAUAACAACAGCGUGGCAUCUUGUGAGUAUGUGCAAGUCAAACACACAUAACAGGAAGAUGAUGGAUGAUAUAUUUGUAAAAGUGGAUGUUGUUCAUAGUAAAGCAAAGAAAAUAACCGCGGAUGGAAAAGUCACAAACCAGCUCCAUCAGGGUAAAUAGACUGGCUUUUACAUAUGUAGGUAAAAAUUUUUUUAUGGUAUUUGCCUUAAAAGAAUCAUUUAGAUCAGCUUGUUUCAUUACAUUAAGUUCACAAGUUAGUAUUCAUUCUUUAACAAAUUUUGAAGCAAUCCGCUAAUGGCCCGGGGUACGUAUUAUCAGCCUAUCAUCAUCUCUUGCUUCAUCAUAAAAGAGUUUGAGAGCACAAAUUAAGGCCCAAUUAUUGGUAGCCCAAAGAGUUUACUACUUUUCCUUAGACUAGAGCAAAGACAAACGACGUCGUUUGGGUGUAAGAAGAAAAUUGCCAAAGAUUUUGAAAACCUAGAAUCGUGAGCUCAGCCUGCUCGUCUUCUUCCUCUGUUUUUGUCUCUCUUACUCAGAUCUCAAAAAGAGCUUCUUUAUUUUUUUUUUCCUUCCUUUCCUUAGAAAAAAGAGUAAAUUUUUAUCAAAAUUUCCAGCUCUGAUAUAAAAGUUUGUGAAAUUAGUAGCUAUUGUUAUGUCUCUAGCUCUGAUUUCAUCUUUUCAAUGGAAGAAAAAGUCGUCAAAGGCAAUGAGAAGAAGACGAGGGGACGAUUGGUUCGCAUCGGAGAUUCCUUUGGAUCUCCAGAUCGAGAUUCUGAUUAGAUUGCCUGCUAAAUCGCUGAUGAGGUUCAAGUGCGUUUCAAAGCUCUGGUUUUCUCUUAUCCGUUCUCGAUGUUUUAGCAACUGUUAUCUUAAGGUCGCAUCCCCACCGCGACCACCUCGUCUCUACAUGAGUUUGGUGGACCACAUCCAGUGUAAUUCAAUGGAAGUCUGCUAUAACCCUCGCGAGUCUGUAUUGCUAUCAUUAUCAUCAUCGUCUAGUACUAAUGCUAAGUCUUUCCACCAAGAUUUGGCAAUGCCAGGGAUGGGAGGACGCAACAUGAUGAUUCUUCGCGGCUUGAUUCUCUACAUUGUUUGCAGAAAGGCGUGUAUCUAUAAUCCCACCACCAGACAAUGUGUAACCUUACCCGCCGUCCAAUCCAACAUUUUUGCUCAAGAAGAUUAUCAUAAGAGUGUCCUCUACUUUUNNNNNNNNNNNNNNNNNNNNNNNNNNNNNNNNNNNNNNNNNNNNNNNNNNNNNNNNNNNNNNNNNNNNNNNNNNNNNNNNNNNNNNNNNNNNNNNNNNNNNNNNNNNNNNNNNNNNNNNNNNNNNNNNNNNNNNNNNNNNNNNNNNNNNNNNNNNNNNNNNNNNNNNNNNNNNNNNNNNNNNNNNNNNNNNNNNNNNNNNNNNNNNNNNNNNNNNNNNNNNNNNNNNNNNNNNNNNNNNNNNNNNNNNNNNNNNNNNNNNNNNNNNNNNNNNNNNNNNNNNNNNNNNNNNNGCUUCCCCACCGCGAGCACCUCGUCUAUACAUGAGUUUGGUGGACCACAUCCAGUGUAAUUCAAUGGAAGUCUGCUAUAACCCUUGCGAGUCUGUAUUGCUAUCAUUAUCAUCAUCGUCUAGUACUGAUGCAAAGUCUUUCCACCAAGAUUUGACAAUGCCAGGGAUGGGAGGACACAACAUGAUGAUUCUUCGCGGCUUGAUUCUAUACAUUGUUUGCAGAAAGGCGUGUAUCUAUAAUCCCACCACCAGACAAUGCGUAACCUUACCCGCCGUCAAAUCCAACAUUUUUGCUCAAGAAGACUAUCGUAAGAGUGUCCUCUACUUUUUAGGACACGAUCCUGUUCUUGAUCAAUACAAAGUAGUUUGCACUGUUGCAGUAUCCUCAAAAAGGUUUAAGAGGAUAACCUCAGAGCAUUGGGUCUUCGUCCUAGAACCCGGAGGUUCGUGGAAAAGAAUUGAGUUUGAUCUACCUCAUUGUCCUGCACGACUAGGACUGUGCAUCAACGGAGUCAUAUAUUUUUUGGCUUCCGCUUGUAUGUCUAGCGAUAUCCUUGUCAGUUUUGAUGUUAUGUCUGAAGAGUUCAAAUGGAUCCAAGGACCUCCUGUCGCGUCUGCAUUUAAGCCCAUGGGUUUUAUAGAGUAUCUUGGAAAACCAUCUGUUUUUGAUCAUUCCCAUCUUAAACGCAAAGGUUCCGUGGACUUAUGGGUCUUGGAAGAUGCUGGAAAAUGGUCGAAGAAAUCCCUGGUUUUGCAGCCUUGUCAGAUGCAUUUAGUUGAUAAGAAAUUAUCAUUCACGGUUAAAGGUACUACUCAAAACGGCGAGAUUAUCUUGGCACCCGUAUUGUUGCAUUCCCCUUAUUACGUUUUGUAUUAUGAUCCCAAAAAGAAUGAUUUGAGAAAGGUUAGAAUCAGAGGAAUACCGAAACAAUGGUUUGGUAAGCUUGAUGACACCAACUUACUUUUUUAUUUCGAUCUUAUGGAUGAGAGUGAAAGUAUCCUGCACUUGGAAAUUUGAAAUUGCCAUGUCGACAUUUCUUACCUUCAAUACAUUGGGAACUAUUUAUUUUGUAAUUUUGUUUUAUUUAUGUUGAUUGUUUUUUUUUUUUUUUGAUAUUUUGAAUUUUGAACUUACCUUUGUUUUUUAUGGUGACAAAAUUGACUUUGAUCAAAAAUCAUCUUACUAAGAAGAAUAAGAAACAUGGUAGCUAGUAUAUUAUGAUUUAUUGAUUGAUUUUAUUAUAAAUAAAUUUAAAUUUUUGCAUAAGUUAAAAAUGAAAAAAAACUUUACUUAAUGUGAAACAUAAGGAUUAUGAGUUUCCCAUUAUGUUUAACUAGGAAGCGGACACGUGCGUUACCGCACGGGAAAGCGAAAACUUGAAAUAGUUAAAAUUGCUAAAUCGUUUAGAGUGGAAACUUGCUUAUUCUAAAACCACAUAAGUCUGGGUUUGCGGAGUUUUAGGGGAAAAUUAUUGGCAAAGUUAGCAUCUUUCAGCCAAUUGCUUUUCUAUUGACCAUGUCAUGAUCAUAAUCGGAGCAAGAGUUGCCGGUAUAGAGUUUUCAACAUAAAUUCCUUUAUAUUUGACUUGUUGGUGCUUUCAAUCUUUCUAUUCUANNNNNNNNNNNNNNNNNNNNNNNNNNNNNNNNNNNNNNNNNNNNNNNNNNNNNNNNNNNNNNNNNNNNNNNNNNNNNNNNNNNNNNNNNNNNNNNNNNNNNNNNNNNNNNNNNNNNNNNNNNNNNNNNNNNNNNNNNNNNNNNNNNNNNNNNNNNNNNNNNNNNNNNNNNNNNNNNNNNNNNNNNNNNNNNNNNNNNNNNNNNNNNNNNNNNNNNNNNNNNNNNNNNNNNNNNNNNNNNNNNNNNNNNNNNNNNNNNNNNNNNNNNNNNNNNNNNNNNNNNNNNNNNNNNNNNNNNNNNNNNNNNNNNNNNNNNNNNNNNNNNNNNNNNNNNNNNNNNNNNNNNNNNNNNNNNNNNNNNNNNNNNNNNNNNNNNNNNNNNNNNNNNNNNNNNNNNNNNNNNNNNNNNNNNNNNNNNNNNNNNNNNNNNNNNNNNNNNNNNNNNNNNNNNNNNNNNNNNNNNNNNNNNNNNNNNNNNNNNNNNNNNNNNNNNNNNNNNNNNNNNNNNNNNNNNNNNNNNNNNNNNNNNNNNNNNNNNNNNNNNNNNNNNNNNNNNNNNNNNNNNNNNNNNNNNNNNNNNNNNNNNNNNNNNNNNNNNNNNNNNNNNNNNNNNNNNNNNNNNNNNNNNNNNNNNNNNNNNNNNNNNNNNNNNNNNNNNNNNNNNNNNNNNNNNNNNNNNNNNNNNNNNNNNNNNNNNNNNNNNNNNNNNNNNNNNNNNNNNNNNNNNNNNNNNNNNNNNNNNNNNNNNNNNNNNNNNNNNNNNNNNNNNNNNNNNNNNNNNNNNNUUUUCAAUUCCGUGUGUUUACACAGAUAUAUACAAUCUCAUUAUGUGUUAGUACUUAUAUAUUCGCCUAGUCUGGUGGCGACUGGUAGCUUUUGUCACCCUUGCAGUCCGGGUUCGAAUCCCUCCUUCUCCCACUUUCGCUCUUUUUUUUUUUCCUUUUUUUCUUCCGUCUUCUCUCCUUCUUCUUCCUCUGAACUGUGUAACGCAAAUCUAGGGUUUUUUUUGUACUUUGUGAAUUCCAGAUCAAUGUUUUCUGUAAUUACAUCGUCGUUUCCUUAUCAUCAAUCCUUUGUUAUGUGCCCUAAUUUUGGAGAAAAAAUUUGAAACUUUCAUGUACAAAUGGCCAUUAGAGAAAGCAGAUCGGAGAAAGUUCAGAGGAUAAUCGAGCUAGUCGACGGGAAUCGCGAUGAUGGGUUUAACUGAGAAGAGAUGGCGACGGCGACGGAGCUUUGGGUUAAAUGAGGAGGAAGGAGAAAGAGAGAAAUGGCGGAAGGGAAGGAAAAAAAAAUCAGUGGUUUGUAAUGGGGAGGAUUCGAAACCGAGUUCUAUGGAUGACAAAACACACCUCUUACCACUAGACUAGGAUAAUAUAUUAAUAAUUGUAAUACAUAGACAUCUAUAUAUUUAUAAACACGGGGGUUGAAAAAUUUAACACCGGUUAUUGAUUCCGUAACGGCCAUUAACGGACGUUAAAUCACGGUUUUGAAUCCACCAACAAGUCAAAUAUAAGGAAUUUUUAGACUAAAUUUUAUUAAUUGAGGUAUUUUUAUUCCAAUCUAAAACAAUUGGGUAUUAAACGUCCAAAUAAAAAUUACUUUGGGUUUUUUGGGGAAUUUUCCCGGAGUUUUAGUGAGAGAAAUUAUGAAACCACAUAAACUAUUAGACUGGUACACAACCAUUUUGAAAAGAGAUAUUUUCACAUAAAUUCACAUGUUGAAAUAAACGAUUAAAAACAUGCAAUAAUUCUCUGAGAAAUGGAGGAAGUUUAUCAUUGAAUAAUAAUUAGAAUGAGAUCAUAUUGGUUAUCGCAAAGGUUAGAUGAAGAAUGUCGAAGAUAUCAUCGACACUUAUUACUAUACGCCAUACUCUACCCAAGUUUCAACUAAUGAUAUACUUUGUUCCUCUCAUCGUCUAUUUAUUCUGCAAAAACUCAAACCUAGAAAUUUAACACCAUGUGAACAACGAUUGUAUCGCUAAGAAAAUGAGACCAAAACAUUAGGACUAACCAAGGUAAGAUUGAUCGAAGCAUGGGCGGGAGUGGAGAAUAGACGGUUGGUGGCUCAGUGGAAGCCUAAUUGAUUGUGCCAGUAGAUAGAUUGUUAGUGAAAAAGUACAGACUACCGCAUUGCGGGAAAAGGACUUGAGGGUUCUCCAAAUAAAAAUGUUUCAUGGUUUUUGUUUGGAAGAGAUUAGAAGAGACCAAAUUAAUUAGAAAAAAUGAUUUAGAAAUUAUCUAUGAAAAAAUUCAGAAGAAGUUACAAAUGCAAUUUUUUUUCACGGUUUUAUAAGAUGUAAUGAUGCUGAAGAAGCAUAACUAAAGGGUGGUGAGAAGAGGGAGAAGCGAUGCUUCACAAAAAAGACAAACAAAAUGUUGCAACUGAAAAAGCCACAACCACAGGAUUAAGAAGAAAACUAACCUCAACCGUUGGAUUAAAAAGAUUACAUAGAUUACAUCGAAGACGUGUCAUUUGAUUUUGUCUUCACUUUCUCGAAGUUGAUUUUGCAUUGUCAUGUAUAAGGGAUAGCAGUCCCCCUACACCCAGUGCCGGCCCGGAGAAAAAGGAGGUCCAAUACAAAAAAAAUUUUUUUGAGAGGUUUUAUAUAUAAAAUUUUAAAAUUGAAAUAAAAUUUAAAAUUUUCAAAAAAAUGAGGCCUCUUUUUAUAAUAAACAAUAAAAAAAAUUAAAAUUUGAGAUUAAAUCUGGAAAGUUUAGAAAAAUGAGGCCUAUUUUUGCAAUUACAAAUUAUUUUGGGGCCUAAAUUUGUUACUAAAAAUUUUAAAAAAUUUGGUGGCCCAAUAGCCAUGUGUCUUGGGUAUGUGUGGCGGGCCGGGCCUGCCUACACCUUCCUUGGGUGCACACGCACAUUAAAACCACAUACUCCACGUAUCAACAACUAUGUAUCUAUUUCAUUCACAUGAAUUAGGAUUACAUAAUAUUUGGUGCCUGCAUCAAACUUUUUGUCAAGUCCUAUAAAAAAUCAUUCUGAUUUAUUAGCAUUCUGCAACCAAUACAGUACCAUCCUCCCGUGAGUGUCAUUCUCAAAAGUGAACCUUACUUGUUCUUGCUUUCCAAGUGUGCUCCAGCCUCCAGUGCAGAUUCAAAUACAAACGGUUUACAAUGACAAAGAAUAAUGACGAUUGGAUUUAGAAAAGAUAAGAAUCUUCAUUUUGUUGAUAGAAGCAUCAACUUCUUUCUGGAGUUCAUGUAGCAAAACAUCAACGAAUAUUUAUAUCUAAAUUCAAUUAUUCAGUGAGUCAUAAGUCUAUAAAAUCAACCAAAACAGCAAAUCUCAAAGGUAGAAAAAUUUGAAUACAUGAUGUCACACUACUGUCCACAAAAAUAAAUUGUAAUUACACUGUCGCUUUAAAAAUCUAUUCAAUGACAUCUAAAAAGAACAAUUUUAACAAGAGAGAUAUAUGAAGACAUGAAUCUAAGUUUACCGAGUUUGAGUGACACAAAAACGAUGAGAAAGGUGGACAACCAUUUUGGACGGAGAUAUAUAAUUGAUUCAAGCAGAUUUACGUACAAGUCCAAUUAAACAAUCAAAAUUCAGAUACGAACUAAUCAAAGGGUUUAAAACUGAGUAACCAUAAUUAAUCCUCUUUAAUAAAUCAUUUCGGCAAUUAGAUUAAACAACGUCAUUUUAACGUUUCUAAAUCGUUGGAUCAAAUUCUGUAUCAACCCCCAAAACAAUGAAGAAGACUACGAGACAAAACGAAUCAACCGAUGCUUGAGUAACUCUAUGGCAAUUUUUAGUUUUUGAUAGUUUUUAUUCGUCUCAUCAUCAGAAUAUACUGAAGAAACCUAAACCCAAAAAAAUCAAUACGUACUAUGUGACCUGCAAUUGUAUAUUUAUAAAAAGAGGCAAAGACACUAAAACUUACCAAAGUGAGAUCGAUUGAAAUGUGGACGGGAGUGUACAUUACAGCAGAGGAUCACUGCCUCAGUUUGCGCAAAAUCGACUGCGUAGAAAAUCGGUUUGGAGAAACUACGGCGCCGUCGUGGGAAAAUGAUUCAGAAGAUGGUACGAAAUUGACUAUUGUUUUACGGUUUCAAUAUGUAUAAAUGACGAUGAAGAAGCACAGCGGAAAGUGGUGAGAACUGAGAACAGGGAGAUGCGAUGCUUCACAAAGGAACAUGAACAGAAGGAUGCAAUUGAAAAGACACGUCCUUUGCUAUAGUUAAUUUACGAGAAAAAACCACAGCCCUAAGAUUAAAUGAAAACUAACCUCAACUGUUAGAUUAAAAAGAUGACAUCAGCAGACCCAAAAAAGUGGGUUUGCUAUUAUAUAUAGAUUGAACUACUGAUUUAUUUUUACCUACCUUUGUUUGUUUGAAUUUCAAAUCACAUAACAAGUAUACGAGGUAUGUUAAUCUCAUAUGCAAGAUAGAGUCUCUUGCUAGAGACAUUUAGAUCUAUGAUGGUCUUUCAUUGGCAAAGUUAGCAUCUUUCAGCCAAUUGCUUUUCUAUUGACCAUGUCAUGAUCAUAAUCGGAGCAAGAGUUGCCGGUAUAGAGUUUGUCAGUUACUAUUCCUAUCAUCUUUCUUGUGCAUGUAGAGAUGAUGAAUUUUAAGUAACUAAUCACUAUGAAGGGAGAAAGAGAAGAGAAUGAUCAUAAGCUCUCACAAUCUCCUAAACGUAAGUGCUGCCUUGAAAUAAUAGCCGGUGAUAUCAAUAUUCCUUUCGAUCUGACGGUGGAGAUACUGAAGAAACUCCCGGCCAAGUCUCUUGUGAGAUUCUAAUGCGUCUCCAAGCAAUGGUCAACCAUAAUCGGCUCCCGGAAAACUCCCGGCCAAGUCUUCUUCUCAUCAUCUCACAUUUCUCUCUUCUACAAUAUUUCUCUCUCUAGAUUCUGUUCAGGAACUUGUCUUAAAAACUCUCACUCUCCCCCAAACUUAACAAACAUACAAGCAAAACACCCAAUGGGUCUCACUUCUCUUCAAGUUUGCAUGGAUUCUGAUUGGCUCCAGGUAUUUUCACUUAGACUUCCAUCGUUUGUAUUUGUGUUUCUUUUCCAAAUAAGAACAUAAGACUUCACACAUUGCAAGCAAAAAUUCCUUUGUUAAUUAGUUUUAAAAAGUAAAUGUCAAUNNNNNNNNNNNNNNNNNNNNNNNNNNNNNNNNNNNNNNNNNNNNNNNNNNNNNNNNNNNNNNNNNNNNNNNNNNNNNNNNNNNNNNNNNNNNNNNNNNNNUUGAAAAUAUUUUCCAUUUUAAAUGUGACUUAUUUUUUGUUUUAAUGAAUUUGUUUUGUCCCAUUUAAGUGCACAAUUUAAAAAACAAAAAUUAGGAUUGAAACAAUUUAGAUCUUAUUAAUUACUCCUCUUGAACCAUCGUUUUUGGCGUGCAUGGUGAUGCAUAUUAUGUACCAUACAACUUCGAUUGUAUAGAUUACAAAGCGUAACCUUACCCGCCAUCAAAUUCAACAUCUUUGUUCAAGGAAAUGAUCAUAGUGUCCUCUACUUCUUGGGACACGAUCCUGUUCUUGAUCAAUACAAAGUAGUUUGUAAUUUUGUGUCAUCAUCUUCACAAGAUUUGGACAUGAUAAACUUGGAGCAUUGGGUCUUUGUACUAGAAGUUGGAGAUUCUUGGAAAAGAAUAGAGUUUGAUCAACCUCAUAUAUCUACAAGACCUGGACUGUGCAUCGGUGGAGUUAUAUAUUAUCUUGCUUUCACUAGUAUGUUUGAGGAUAUCGUUGUCAGCUUUGACGUUAGAUCUGAAGAAUUUAACAUAAUCCAAGCGCCUCUUGUGGUGUCUGCAUAUGUUGGCUCUCUGGGUUUUAUAGAGUAUGGUGGGAAACCAGCUAUUUUUUAUCAUACUAGUCUUAAAGAAAACGGUUUGGUGGACUUAUGGGUCUUGGAAAAUGCUGGAAACUGGUCGAGGAAAGCUUUGAGUUUGCAGCCUUCUCAGCUGCUUUAGUUGAUAACGACAUUCUAUUGACGGUAGAAGAUACAACUCAAAACGGCGAGGUUAUCUUGGUACCAAGUGAGUUGUGUUCCCCUUUUACAUUCUCUAUUAUGAUAUACUGAAGAAUGAUUUGAGGAAGGUUGAAAUCAAAGGAAUGCCGGACCAUAAGAAGGUUGGGAUCAAAGGAAUACCGGACUUUGGUUUCAAACUUAUGGAUAACAGUGAAAGCAUCAUCCACUUGGAAACUUGAAUACCAUUACUUGUUUUUUUGUUAUUUCUUUUCUUCUCAUUCCAAGCUAAGAUUAUCAUAUUAUCUUAUUAUUUUUCGCCUUUAAUAAUACAAUGCAACUAUUUUAUUUUGUUAUUUUAAUUUUAGGCAACAAACAAUCGUUUAAUAUGUGUUCUUCAAUUUUAUUUUAAAAUCAUCAAGUAAGAUUGGAUUUAAUCGCAGAGGUUACAUGUUCUGUAUAUCAAAUCAAGAACAAGUUUUAGAACCCUUGUGGAUAUAUAUAAGCUUUUGUUUCAAGUAGAAAUGAAUAUAUAUAUAUAUAUAUAUAUAUAUAUAUAUAUAUAUAUUUCUGUUUUUUUGUUUUUCCUUUAAGCAUUCAUCAAUUGUGUAAAAAAAUCUCUGGAAGUGCUUUUAGUAUGUAAAGAAGUUAUCUACCUAAAGAAGUUUACCCUAUAGCCCAUGUUUCUUUGAUAAACCGGUACUAGAAUAACAUUUUUGAAGAGUCAGUGGCUCAACAUGUCCAUGUUUCUUUAAAUAUCGAUUCUCAAUGCCUUGAAUUCAACAGGUCCUUAAUUAUAAGUAUAUCUUAUGGCCAGGUCGGAGAUUUGACCUCAGGUAAAUGAAAGUAUUGUCUGAGGGUAGGAUUAUACAUUGUGACCAAAUGACGUCUUAUGAUCACCGAACAGCAUUGUAAGCCGCAGACUUAUCGAUACUCAACACUUUCGAAAGGGAUUAUUACUUAAGGUGCGAGUUUUUGUUUCUUUGUGUAGGCGAGAAGAAUAAGACAUGGUUGUCACUAAACCAAUGGUGAAGUGGGAACGUUGGAGCCUUGCAGGUUAUUCAAAGAACGAGGCACGAUCUAGUCAAUGAUGACGCAUCGCAACCUCACGAGGGGGACUUUGCUAGGAUUGUCUUGAGUAUCUCAACCGUUUACUCGAGAGAGAUAUUGAUAUCGUUGAGAUUUUAAGACCGUGAAGUUUUGGUUGCAUCCAUGUCACAGAUUUUGGGGGGUCUUGUGCUCUUGAAAAAUCUGAAAAGUCAUGAGCUUCGCACCAGAUCCAAUGGUCCUGAAUCCGUUUUCUAAGAACGGAGAGAAUCUGACAUUGAUCACCGAGACCAGAUUUACAAUUACGAUAGAUCAAAUCAUGAGCUUUAUCUCUCCUUCAAGCAAUUCCAUAACCCCGAGUUCGUCAGCAAAAGACGACGGCCAGCAGAAUAAGAAUCGCAGCUUCCAGAUUCAGAGAUCGUUGAUCAUUCUUGCUCUGAAUCAUCAAAAAACGCUUCAACUUUGAAAAAUAGGAACUUUUGAUACAAACUUGAAAAAUCUUAAAGCUUUUGAAUUAGUUUUGUUUCUUGAGCUCCAAGUACAUAUUUAUAGCUACGAAUAGAAUAGGGGAAUAAUCACAGAAAUGGAAAAAGGAACCGUUUGAAUUAACCUUUGAAUCCGUUUAGGUAGAAGCCGAAAUGACGAAAUUACCCUAUGAAUCCGUUUGCUUGCGGACAUCGAGAAUGUGUCAUUGUGUUGUAUCGAGUCUUCUUCUUCUUUGCGAGGCCACGACCGACACAUGUAACACGUUUUAUACGUAACCAUUUCAAUUUCUUAAAUGAAUUGUAGGUCAAUAUUUUUCUUAGUUAGAAUCCCAUAUGUGCAUAGCUAAAUUAGUUGACAAACAAUGUUAAUGUGAUACAAUGAAUUUGUUAAAUUAGAUUAGUAUAGUUAACUCACCUAAAUCGAUCGUGUUUGACUUGAUGCUGUGUUUUCAAUUAUUGAAUUUAGGUAAAGAGUUACUCUACUCUUUGUUUUGCAGGCUCAUCAACACUUGAUGCUGUGUUUUCAACACUUGAUGCUGUGUUUUCAUCACCAGCUCCAUCUUAAGAUUCUAAGAUUCAACACUUGAUGCUGUGUUUUCAAUUAUUGAAUUUAGGUAAAGAGUUACUCUACUCUUUGUUUUGCAGGCUCAUCAACUUGCUGCUAAAUUCACCAUGAAGUGUGAUGAUGACACAUUUGUACAAAUUGAUGCGGUUCUUAGUGAAGCGAAGAGACCACCUGUGGAUAGAAGUCUAUACAUUGGCAAUAUCAAUUAUUAUCACAAACAGCUCCGCCAGGGUUAAUGGGCUGUUACAUAUGAGGUAAAAAGUUACAAUCUUUUGGCUUAAAGAAUCAUUGGUAUCCGCUUUUUGUCGCAUAUGAAUCCAAAAGUUAAUAUUACAUUAUCUGUUCUUCCAGGAAAUGGCCAGUAGAAGACUUAUCAAUGCACUGCACCAACACAAGUUGACUUCAAGAUUGUCAAGUUGAAAUUGGAGAACAAUAGUCAACGAGUGAGUGUAUUGGAAAUGGAAGCUUACUGGGACUGGUCUGAUGGCUGUUUCUACUCGCUUUGAUAUUGCUUUCAUCCCCAAGAGGUUUAUUAUUACUCUUCUUCCUUUAUUUCCCACUCUUCGAAUUUCAAGUUUUAUUCAGUUUCCAUGAGCUUAGCUUGUUUCUUCUUAUACCAUACCAUGGUUCCACUUCCAUGGAUUAUCUUUGGUUUUCUAGGUGUAUGUACUGUUGGUUUCUUAGAUUGUAUCAGAUUUCUAAUCUCAACACUGGUCUAGUUCUGACUUUUUCAACUGUAUAUUUUGGAUUUCUACAAGUGAGGUGUGAUUUAGGCAUAGAUAAAAUGCAUACAUUUUGUGUGAUUUUCUGUGUUUUCUUCAGUUUCAUCCUCAAGUUUGUUUUGACGUGUAUAUACAGGACACCUGGGUGGCUAAAGAAAAUGUUUUCGACUAUUACUUAGAGCGAGAAGAAUGGCCCUGUGGUUUCGUUUUUUCAUGGAUCUUGGCGAUGCAGGUGCUUAGACAGUUCUCUUUGUAAGCUUUUUUUUAGCAUUUCUCAGUAACAUAGUCUAGCUAAUACUUGCUCGCAUGUUCUUUAAGAGCCUUCUGAUCUGGAUAAGGUUGAAAUAAUCUAAAAUGAAUGGCAAUGGAGAUUCUGAACCUCUAGAGCUUACAACUCCAGACCAUGUUGUGUUAGCAAUAUUUUUGGGUUUGGAUCUUUUCCUGACAUGAUGUUUGUUUUCUCAGUUUCAUAUGUUAAAAAACUAAAUAUUCCAAGUGGAGUGGUUGGGGCUUGUCGACUUGAUUUGGCAUAUGAGCAUUUCAAGGUGUGCCUCGACUGGAACUAGUAUGUCGUUAUAUACUACAUUUGAUUUGCACGGGAGACUGAAUUUAAUAUGUUUCAUUUUCCUCAGGAGAAGCCUCACUUAUUUCAGUUUGUUCCAAAUGAGAGACAGGUAAAAUCAUGUCAGUGUGACUUGCAUUUCUUUGCUCCCUUUAUCAACUUACUUCUAACUGAAAUGAUUUCUGGUUCGCAGGUGAAGGCUGCCAACAAACUUCUCAAGUCAAUGCCACAGAAUGGUAAUAAACAAAAGGUGGAGGGCGUCCUGUUUUCAGUUGCAACUGCAGAUGGAAUUAAGUGGUGAGUUUCACUGAUGCAAAACAAUUGUAAUUUGGCAGGAAUUGUAAAUAACAUUGCUAGUCCUACCAUCUUUCUUGUGCCUCUGUGUAGAAAUUCCCCAUGUGGAGAUAACUAUGGUGUCUCAUAACUUUUAGCUGAUAACUAUGGUGUUUCUUGUGGAUGGUGCUGGGUUUUUCAUCCUCUCGUGUUAAUCAAACCGCAGGUUCAAGAAGCCAUUGAUGAGAUUGGCAGUUCUGGAAUUCCUAUGAGCGUUGUGGCAAAGGCUUCAAAGAAGAUUCAGCUCAUAUAUGUCGUUGUCAGAGUACUUCGAGGUGGUAGAUGGUUUCGAAAAGCCACGGCGAUCCAGCCAAAGUUACCUUAUUUGGUCGAUUCUUUUGAAAGAAGUUCACAUCAUCCUCCGGCCUUAAUUCAACGGUUAGGAUUUCAUCUCUCAUCUCCGAUGGGAAACGCGGUGGACCGGCCUUCGUCGGCCAGGUCUUUAGUAUGUGUGACCUUACUGGGACUGGUGGUCUAGGUGCUCCAAACUUGAUCCAUAUGGAAACAGAAAAUCGUCCAUAUCCUGAUGGAGGCCCAAUAAUUUGCAGCCCAAAGGUUUGGCUAUUUUCUCCUAGGUAAGAGCAAAAUGCAAACGACGCCGUUGCUGGAGUAAUAAUAAAGUUAAAGAAGAAAUAUGCCAAGUUUUCAAACCCUAGAAAUAAUAAGUGCGUGACCUCACUCUGCUCGUCUUCCUCUGUUUCUCUUACGCAGAUCUGAAAAAAGGUAAAAAAUUUCAAUGUUUCUUCUAGCUUCUUCUAUGGGAUCCCCUUCUUUUAUAUAGAUUUUUAUAUGUAUAAGUUUGUAGGGGCGCUUGUGAAUUAGUAGCUAUGGUUAUGUCUCUAGCUCUGAUUGCGUCUAUGCAAUGGAAGAAGAGGUCGUCAAAGACGAUAAGAAGAGGAAGAAGAAGAAGACAAAGAGGAGAAUAUUUUUUUGUGGCACCGGAGAUUCCUUUGGAUCUACUGAUCGAGAUUCUGACUAGAUUGCCUGCUAAAUCGCUUUUGAGGUUCAAGUGCAUCUCAAAGCUAUGGUCUUCUCUUAUCUGUUCCCGAUUUUUUAGCAAUCGUUAUCUUACGGUCGCAUCCCCACUGCGACCACCUCGUCUAUACAUGAGUUUGGUGGACCACCUCGUGUGUAAUUCAAUGGAGGUUUGCCACAACCACCCCCGUGAGUCUGUAUUGCUGUCAUCUUCUAGUAGCAGUGCUGAGUCUUUGGAACAAGAUUUGACACUUGCAGGGAUGGGAGGACGCAACAUGGUGGUUCUUCGCGGCUUGAUUCUAUACAAUGUUUGUAGAAAGGCGUGUAUCUAUAAUCCCACCACCACACAAAGUGUAACCUUACCUGCUGUCAAAUCCAACAUCUUUGCUCACGAAUACUACAAUAAGAGUGUCCUCUACUUUUUCGGACACGAUCCUGUUCUUGAUCAAUACAAAGUAGUUUGCACUGUUGCAGUAUCCUCAAAAAAAGUUAAGAGGAUAACCUCAGAGCAUUGGGUCUUCGUACUAGAACCUGGAGGUUCGUGGAAAAGAAUUGAGUUCGAUCAACCUCAUAUCCCUACGAGACUAGGAUUGUGCAUCAAGGGAGUUAUAUAUUAUUUGGCUUCCACUUGUAAGCGUCGCGAUAUCGUUGUCAGUUUUGAUGUUCGGUCUGAAGAGUUCAGUAUGAUCCAAGGGCCUCCUGUGGUGCCUGCGUAUGGUGAGUCUGUGGGAUUUAUAGAGUAUGGUGGAAAACCAGCUGUUGUUGAUCAUACCAUUUUGGAACAAACAGGUUUAGUGGACUUAUGGGUUUUGGAAGAUGCUGGAAAAUGGUCGAGGAAAUCUCUCGUUUUGCAGCCUUGUCAGAUGCACUUAGUAGAUAACAACAUUCCAUUGAUGGUGCAAGGUACAACUCAAAACGGCGAGGUUAUCUUGGUACCCUUAUUGUUGAUAUCCCCUUAUUACAUUCUUUAUUAUGACCUCCAAAAGAAUGAUAUGAAAAAGGUUUGGAUUAGAGGGAUACCGAAACACUGGUUAGUAAGCUUGACACAAACUUAACUUUUUAUUUCACUCUUAUGGAUAAGAGUGAAAGCAUUAUGCACUUGGAAACUUGAAUUCCAUAUUUCUUUUUUUCUUUCAAUCUUUAAGAUUAUCAACAUUUAAUUUUUUUUUUUUUUGUCAACAACAUUUAAUUGUUGUUUACUUCAAUAAUAGUAUAAUAGUACAAUGAAACCAUUUAUUUUAUGGAUGUUUUAAAUAUUUUUUUGUUUUUUUUUUUCCGUCAGAAAUUGCUUAUAUUAACUUUGAAAUGUCAUUACAAAUGUAUGAUUUAAGCCAUUCUGGCUGGAUACAUGAAUCAACGUAAGAAGAAGAUGGGAUACAACCAAAUCGUGCAAGAGCAUGAGCCACCUGAUUACUCUCUCGUCUAACAAAACGAAACUGACGCUUUCAAACUUUGGCCCAAACCCGUAUAUCUAAAAUAAGAUUAGCGAUUGAGGAGUUAUGCGUAGUCCCAUUAAGCAAGUUAAUUAGAAUUUCGCAGUCUCCCUCGAACAUUACGUCAGUGAAACCCCUGAUCCAUACAUGUUGUAGUGCUGUUAGAAGAGCCUUUGUUUCCACCUCUAAUGGUGAACCCGAAAAACCCAAAACCAGUGAUCCCCACACUUUUGGGAAACCCUUGUGAUCGCGAACAAUCCAUCCUCCCGUACCUUGUAGAUACUAGAUUCUGUAGAUUGAGCCCUGCAUCAAAAUUACAUUUGACAUAGUCUCGUUCCGGAGCUUGCCAGUGACCUACGUCAACGUGACGUAAAGGUAACGACCUUGAUCUUCGACUCUGCUUUCUUGUAGCUUCUAGCCACUCUUUUGUUUCAGCCUGCGCUUUUAGAACUAUAGUUGUUGGACUCUCUCUAAAAUUAUUAAAAACCAAGUUGUUUCUAGAUCUCCACACUUUCCAAAGUAGCCAAAAAGGAAGCAACUUCUGAACAUCUGUUAGAGUAUGAGACUGAAGUAGGUUCAAGAUCGUUGUAAAAUUUUCCUCAAUGUCAUCUGAGAACAUUUGAGGCAUUGGUAGAGUAAUAUUUGAUAUACGCCAAAUCAUGGAAGAAACAGAGCAAGUAAACAGAGCAUGGUUGAUCGACUCAUUGCAAGUUCGACAACGAGGACAAAUGGGGUCUAUUCUCAUACCUCUAGUAGUUAGUCUGUCAAGUGACCCACCUUCCUCCUUGGUGGGUCCGCCCCUGAUUGUGUCUGAGAAAUUGAUCACAUUGCUGCGACGUAACAAAACAAAAGAACUCAAACUUAAUGGUUUAUUAUAUAUGAUUUCGUCUAAUAUAAGCAAUCACAAAAUAGUUUUUGAAUAAUAUCCAUAAGACAUGUUACAAAACAGAGUCUGAAACAAUUAUCAUUCUAAUCUAAAACCGUUAAAAACAUAAACAACAACGACACUAACAAAAACAAAGAGAAACAGAGCUUUCUUGCAGAAGAAGGUAAAGGCUGAGGAGGAGCAGCACCAGCAGGGUUCUGUUUUCCGGUAGAAGCGGUAGUGUUUUCUUUGGAGCAAGCUAAGUUACAACGACUAGGACGAACAACUCGAUACACACCAGAGCUCGUGAGCAAAUGUAUGUCCUUGUUAUUGUCUUGUCCAAAAGAGUAGAUGUAACCAAGAGCAGGUCCUGAGCUAGCUCCUCCUGGAGCCGCGGUACACUUAAUCGGCGAAUCCUUACUGCAACUGAACGGUAUUAGAGAGUCUGUGAAGUUUCCACUAUCUUCUGGUGAUUCAAUCGCUGCCCACAUUGCGUUUGCAUAAAGAUCUGCAUACAAGUACCUGAAACAAAAAAACAAAAAGUUUGAGGAUUUAGUGUUUUAAGGUUUGGAAUUAGGGUUUAUGGUUUAGCUUUUUACUUACGUUCCAUAAGAGCAAGGAUCAGUGUUGGAUCGAUAGAAGUAACCUCCAAUAAUGGAAGCAGAUCCUUCAUGUUUGUUCACUUCAGAGUGGUUGUAACCGAGAAUCGGGAAUGUAAGGUUUGAAUCCGCGGAAACAUUUUCUCCAAAAGGCGAUAAUGGGGAGAAAACAUAAGGUCCUUCAUAAGUUCUCCAGCCAUAGUUUCCACCCUUUGUUAUGAUAUCUACUUCUUCAUAUGUAUCCUGUUACGUUUUAAACACAGCAAUCUUUUCAUGAGAAACUCUGCAUCAUCACAGAGUUGGAUGCUUGAACCGUAAGAAAAAAACACAAACCUUUCCAACAUCAGCGCACAAGAAGUAAUCUGGUCUUUCGGAAUCGAAGCUGCAGCGCCAUGGAUUUCUUAGACCUAAAGCCCAAAUCUCAGGCUGCUCAUUUUCAUUGCCUUGGAAAGGAUUGUUCUUUGGGAUAGAGUAGUUUCCCCACAAACCAAGCUUUGAGAUUUCAGAUACGCCUGCAGAGUUUUAUGGAAGAAAAAUAAGAGUUAAAACACUGAAUGCAAACUCCAUAAAUACAGGGUUUUGGUUAUCGAUUUCGUCACUUAACUUGGCAUAACAUCAACAUCAAGCCUCAAGAUUUUUCCAAGUAACGACUUCUUGUUCUGUGCAAAGUUGUGAGUAUCUGAAACUCCUCCUCCGUCACCAGUCAUGAGAUACAAAUACCCGUCAGGUCCAAAGAGAAUCUGACCACCGUGAGAUGACGAAUACGGAAGUCCCAAAGUGAAAAUCCUCCUCACUUCAGAGGCUUUACCAAUCUUUGCCUACACAAUAAAAGCAACAAUCUCUGUUAGAAUCUUGAUCUCCAAGAAACUCAUGUUUUGGGUUUUAUCAAAUCUUGAAUCUUUUGGUUUUGAACUUACCGUUGAAGGGCUCGAGGAAGUACCAUUUGCAGUAUACUCAGCCACGACGGUCUGAUAACGACAAGGAUGCGCGCCAUCGUCUUUAGGAAGCUUAGAAGGAUCACAAUUUACAUCAGAAUUGCAAGCACAACGACCAGAACAUCCAGGAGAUUUGACUUUAUCGCAGUUAAAAGACGCGAAAAACCGCCCGUUCUCUGCGAAUUUAGGAUGAAACGCCAUUCCCAUCAUACCAAACUGCGUAUCGAAACUGACUUGAUCGGUAAUAUCAACAAAAGGAGUCGAUUCAUCGAUUUCCAUCGGUUCACCUGAGUCUUGAUCCGGUAUUGUUCCUAACCAAAUCUUACCAGGUUGGUUAGAGAAAAAGGCCCGGUUAGAACCAUCAGGAUGAGCCACCAUGUUUAAGUAAGAUCCGGUUCCUAUCUUCUCAAGACAUACUCCUUUUGGUGGCUUAACAUCGGUGUCUUUGUUAACCGGUUCACCAUUAAAGCAUUUGGUUUUGUUGUUGUUGGUUUGAGAUGGUCCACCAAAGGCGGUACAGAAUUCGGUUUGGGAUUUCCAAAGAUCGGUUAAUGUUGAUGAAUUUGAGGAAGUUGAAGGUGAAGUAGCACCACCUAGUAGAGUGGGACUAAAAGGAGAAGAAACAAUGGAAAUGUUCUGACAUGAAUCCCAAAGCUUUGAGCAUAAGUCUUGUGAAGUUGAGUUGCAAAGAAUUGGAACUAGAGAACUAUCAUCAUCAAACAAUUGUCCUGAGGAUUGAUCACAUUUCUGAGGAAAUAAAGCAACAAAACUCAGAGAUUGAGAAUCAAUUAGCUUCAAACAGAGCAAAUGGGUAAGUGAAAGAUCGAUUCUUUUUUAAUGGGUUUUUUCGAAUUAUUGAGGAAAUUGAGUAGACUUACAGAGCAAAGAAUGGAUUUGAGAAGAGAAGAACAAUUAGAGUCAGAGAUGUUCAUGGAGUUGAAGCGAUUCUGUAAUUGAAGAUCAUCUUUGGAAUUGCAGCAAGAUUUUCCUUUGUAGGAAUCGCAGAACUGGAGUGUCUCGUUGUUGUUAACUGGAGUCUCUGACAAAAGAACGAAAAAAUAAUCAAAACGACAGGAACACAAAGAACACUUAAACUCAAACAGACAUGAACACUUACUUGAAUCUGAGCAAAGAGGAUGAGAAGUUGUUGCAGAGAGUAGAAGAAGCAGAAGAAGGGAACAGAUAGUGAUGAUGGCUUGAAUCGUCUUUGCCAUUAUUGGAACUAUGCAACAACACAAUUCUCUCUCUCUCUCUUUAUCUCUUUCACAGGAGACUAGAAGCUAUAUAUAUAUAUUUGUAUGUAUAUGUGGUAGUAGUACGGUACUAGUACCGUAGGAGGUAGGAACAUAGUUGUGACUAAAUACGACAUGGUCGUUGAAAUUUUUGUCAACAAUAUUAGAGAAAACUUGAGAGAGAAAGGAAUAAAUUCUUGGAUAGGGUGAGACGGUUACGCUAAUUUGUCCAAUCUCAAAUAUUAAAUUCGAUUUGGUAUAUAUGAAUUUGUCAACCCUGUUCUCGAAGGCUGAUUUUUCCAAAAGGUUCCAAUUUUAUUUUAUUUUACUAUGAAAAAGAAAUGUGAAAUCAGUUUUCAAUUUUCUCUCUUAGUUUACCUAAAAAACAAUAUCGGUUUUGUUCUAUUAAUCUAUCAUUAUGUGCUAUGUAUUUUACAAAUUUAGCUCAUAGAGUCAAUUUUAUCAAGUCUAGAGUUAACCCUACGAACUUUGUAAUAUCGGUUACUGUGGUGCAUUUUCGUCUUACAAUAAUUUGUUAUUCACCUCAUGACAUUAAUAUUGUGUGUUGAGUUGUGCCAACUUCUGUCUACUAGUUUCUCAACUCAUUAAUUGUUUUUUUAGUUUUCUCUUGAGAACUCAGCCACAACUAUUUUUUUCAAAACCUAUAUAAAAAAGGUGUCGAUUAGCCUAUUAAUCACUAAACCAUCCCUAAAUCAACAACUUAACCAAUAAACCGGAAUGAUUUUUUUUGUGCACCUAAUUGAGUAGCCCGUUUGUAUUCUCCAUAGAGUAUUAUGUUUUCCAUUUGACAAACAAAAUUCUCAAAACAUAAAUGUUUUCGUAUGUAGAGGAUAGAUUUUUGUAAGAUAUACAGUAGUAAAGAGAGCAAGGCUUAGACCUUUUGAGCAUUUAGAUAACCAACAGAGGACUAUACUACAUAUCCUUUAUUCGUAUCUAAGUAUAUUUUCUUUCGGGUGUGGAUAAAAGACGGAAUUGAUUAAAAAUAAUAUCCUUCUCCUUACGCAUGUUAACCAUAUUAAUACUUUAGCAGUACCUAACAUGAACAUUAUUGGGUCAAUUUCGUCGUCCAUAUGAACAUUUUACAUUUUUUUACCUUCAAUUAUUAUCUUUUAGGUUGCUCCGCAUUUACCUUUUCUCACACGCUUCAAAAAGUUUCCUUCAUUAAUUUGCAUCUUUGGUUAAAUCAGAUACAUUAACCAGUUUGAAAAGUUAUAACAGCCAAAGUCCCAAAGAAACCACUGAUUAAACAAUUGUCUACCGACUAAAAACUCUUACAAGUCCUAUACAAUAUAUACAAACCUACUAAAAAGCUUAAAAAGCGAUUAUGAUCAAAUGUGAAAUACGACCGAAUAAAUUGAACAACCCACUACGACUAAUAUUAUACGUUAAUUUGGAGCCAACUAUAAAGCGUCUGAGCUCUGAAUAUCAAAGCGGGCCAUGUAGGAGCAGACUGAAUCAUGGUCCACAAACUUUUAGUUCUAAUAUCGAAACUUGUAAAUUAAGAAUACUUGAAUAUAACAUAUUAGAUACUGUAUAUUAUUAUUAGUAUUGAUCUCUUCAAAAAAAAAUAGAAAAAAAAGUUUCUUAAAUAUUUGGUGUUUUUUCUUUAUUAUAAAAAAAGAAUAAAAUGAAUUAAACAAUUCUUAAUUUUAACGUAAGAAGGUAGUACAUAGAAAUUGAUGGGUUAAAUUCAGAUUAGAAAAGCAUGUUAAAGAUAUAAUUGGCGGGUAAAAUUAAAGUAUCCCCAAGCAAAGAAAAGAUGCAAAUUAAUGGCAACUUGGAUCUCCUUCAAAGAAAAGAUGCAAAUUAAUGGCAACUUGGAUCUCCUUCUCGACAUUUUUUCUCUUAAUUGCAUUCCCCAUUUCUCACUUACUUUAUGAAAAUUUAGUUUAUUCAACGGCAUGGACUUUUUUUCAUUAAUGAACCGGUUGGACUUUUGAAAUAGUCUACUUCUUAUCAUAUACAGUAGUAGUAUAUUUUGAUAAUGAUGCAUACAUUCUAGAAGGUAAAGAGAGUUCUACUUGGGAUUUUAGACAUUUUUAGACAAUUAAUCAGUAAACUCCAACCUUUAAAUUUAUACUGUCUGUCUGUCUUGUAAAUUCUAUUGUUAUAUAUAUAUAUAUAUAUAUAUAUAUAUAUAUAUAUAUAUAUAAUAUAAUCUAUUAUUUAUCUGAAUCAACAAUUCAUGAUGAAAUUACGUAUUGGACUAAAAAGCAUUCAUCAAACACGUUGUUAGAUAGGACCAACAAAGAUAAGAGAGCAAAUAUUUCCCAUCCAUGAAGAUGAUGGAACAAACAAACUGUCUAAUUUAUUACAAGAUAAAGUUUCUAUAUUACAUAUUUUAUAAGGGUUUGACUCUAAAUAAACACUUACAAAAUUUGUUAAGAAAAAAUCGUGACCACUUGAUUUAUUGGAUAUUGAUAGUUGCUUCCAUGUGGAGUUGCACGUAGCGAUUCCUCUCGUUCGGCCGCCAAGUCUUAUAUGUAUACAUAUUAAAUAGUGAAAUGCGUUCUCAAUGCAUAGAUGAAUGAAUUAAAAAAAAAAACAAUGCAAAAUGAAAGCACACAUUUAUGGUGUUAGGUGCUGAGAUAUUCCAUGUAAACUUUAAUCUA